AAAAAAAAAAAAAACUUGAAUCCACACACACCAACUCGGACGGUGGAGAAUAUAACACAAAGUCACAUGAAAACACAGCAAAAUACAAAGAAAUCGAACAGGGUUUGACGAAUAUAAACACAAACGUGAAUCGGCUUUGAGCUAAUACGUGAAAAUUCCUCGGUCUUCUUUCAGGCAUUUUAGCAAAUGCAUGACACGCACUUCGGACAGCAAGCUUGAUACUUAGUCUCGACAUGUGAAGGUUUGAAUCGACAUUAUUAGGCACAGAUCAACCAAUAUUUCUAUGCAAGAUGCCUACGAUCUUUGAGAAAAAUGAAUUUUGAGAUCGGGGUUGCUGAAAGAAAGAUUUAAUUAAGCUAGAAAUUGACUUAUUUAAUAUGUAAAAAAGGGGGGUUCACUUAAUUCAUUUAGUAGGAAAAAGUAAUUGAUGAUGAUUAAUAUCUUAUCUACCGAUCAUGAUUCUAUGCUUGGAAAAAAAUUAUAAAUAUAUAAUGACAGUCAAAAAACUAUUUCUUUCAUGUUUAACACUUGAAGAUUAUUAACACUUCAAAUGAGCUCUUUAAGUUCUUAACAAUACAUUUACAUAGAUUGAAUAAGACUCUAAAAGAUUGGUUGACAUAAUCUUUGAUUCAAAAUUAGUUUGAACCGGGGAUGUAAUAUAGUCAAGUGUUUCUUCAUGCAACUCUCCCCAAUUUUUUUUUUGUCAUUUUUUUUUUGUCGGUCCUACUCUAACACUCACUCUCAGACUUUUGCCCUGUCUCCUUGCAGGGCAUGAGAGUCAAGAUCCACUCCUAAAAUGAAAUCGUCCUCACCCCAAUCCCCCUUGAAAAGGUGGGGAUUUGAAUCCCUCACUUCCCCCUUCCAAGUUGGAAAGGUGGCCACUGGGACGAACCCCUAAUGGUUUUUUCUUUUUGGUCAUUUACCCAUAAAACAAUAUAUACAUGUUGUUGAUUGGCUAAAGGCAAGGAAUGCAUAAAAACGUUAACGUAUGGGCUCUUUGCAAAUGCGUGAGCUUGGCCUAGCGUCACCCUUCGAUAUCACAGGGUUUCAACAAAAUCAAUUGAAAUUUAACAUGGUAACUAUGGUCGCAAUUUCAUCCAUAUUGUAAAUUAGAAAUAACCCAUAUUUUUCUUUCGCCUCACUAGUAAAAAGUCCUACGUCCAUGCGGUAAUCAUGGAUUUAGUUUUUAUUAAUUCUCUCGUCAUUACGAUUAAUGCAUGGAUUUUUAUUUUUAUUUUUUGGACUAUGCUAGCAUGACCUUGGGCCAUCCAUUUUUGUAUAAUGGGCAAGUGGACAUAAAUUUGCCAUGUGUGCAAUAUUUGAAGAAACAAAUCUAAUGAUGUCCAAGAAAGAGAAAUUCAUGAGGAAUUGACUCCCUAUUUCAUACGGGGGAUAUUGGUCCAAAAUAAAAAAAAAUUGAUAUCACUUAAGUCAAACGUUGAAAAUUUAUAUAAUAAAAAUAAAAAUAUUCACAAUCCAUAAAGUUUGCACUUAUAACAUAAAAUCAGAAAUUCUUCAUAUACUAUUAUUACCAUAAUAUGAAAAGAAAUGAUUGUUGCACUUUGUUACGAUAAAAAUUUGUUGAACGUCUUCAUGAAAUACUGGAAAUUUUUGAAAAUAUUGAAAUAUCAAAAACUAUAGUGUACUUUCGGUGCAUUUAUGAAAUCCUGAAGAGUACAAAUGGUUCUUCUUUUUUUUUUUUCUUUCUUUCUUUAAAUUUUACGACGUUAUCUCUUUGACUUUUAUUUAUUAUGAAACAUUUGGAAAUUUUCAAAAAUAUUCAAUAUAAAAUACCGAAUUGUACAAUUGAUCCGUUUUUAGAACUUAGAGAAGAAGUCUAAGUAGUAAGUCUUUACUAUAAAUAGAAAUUUUUUUAUCUCAGAUGAGUAUCUUAUUAUUAUUGUUGAUGUUGUUAUUAUUAGUAGCAGUAGUAUUUACAUUUUCUUCGCAUUAUUUCUUAAAUCGCGUCUGAAAUUAAAGGACAAUGUUGCACGAUCUUUGGACGGGUGGACCCACCUAUACAUGCUUGCAAAGUCCAAGCCAUGCAUGCAAAAUUACCGAGACAUUGUACAUUCUUUGCAGAAAUCGGAAAGUUUUUAGAGAUCCUAUUUAGCAUCUGUAUUAAGGAUAUAUAAAAUGAGAUGUUCAUUGAUUAAGAGGGUCGUUAAAGGUAAUAUUGCGUUUUUUAAAUUUGAAAAUAAAACAUUAACUUGUUAGUUAGAUUGACUAAAAUAAUUAAUUAGAGAUACUUUCUUUUUUAAUUAGCCAAUAAGUGAUUUAUCAAACACUUUACGUCGAAAUGCAAACUCGUUAGCAGAAUUCUCAAUUUUUUUCAAAUGAAAUGUGUAAAUUGAUUUAUAAUUAUUUGGUAUGUAUAUUUUUCGCAUUUAGUUAAAAUAAAAGAUCAAUUUUAAUGUGUUACACAUACUCAUUACAUAAGACUCAGAGCGUUGAGAGUGCCGAAUAGUAAUCAUAAUCUUCAAGUUUAUUUGAAAAAAGCAAAUCAUCACUUCCAAGUCUUGGUAAUUUGUAUACAUGAAAUGAACGUAUUAUCGUUGAAGAAUUCUUGUUACAUAGCCAAAUGUGAAAUUGAACUUUUAAUUUUAGUUUGAAAAUUGACAAAAAGAAAAGUGGCAUGACUUUAUUUUCCAAUUUGAUACAGAUAUUUAAAAACAAAAUUAGUCUUAAAGAUCGCCUACCAACUAUAAUACUAAAAAAUAAAAAUAAUGGUUAUGACUACGCUCUAACAAAAAAAAAAUGUAAUGAAUAAACAAAAACAUCGAACCUGAAGAUUCUCACGUUCUCAUUCUUUAUAAGUAUUCUUCUAGAUUUAGGAAUUAGGAAAUUUUUUUAAAAAUAAAACCACAAAAUUUUGUUAACUAUAUUGAUAUGUGAUCUAACUCAAAAUUUGUAUUUAUAAUCCUCGCGGUACGAAUUAACAUGGCUUUUCGAUAAGCCCCUGCUAGCAUGCACUCUACACCUCGGCGCAUUUUGAUUUUUGAAGGUCAGGUCUUAAAGCCCUUUGUAUAGCCUGACCCCUCCCUCCAUCCAACCAUAAUGGCAUGGAAAUUAUGCCAUCCUCGGGCAUGAUUGCUUGCCACCUUUGGAAGACCUUAAGCAAAAGUUCGAAUCAUUGCGCAUUUGAGGAAGAUGGGGAUGCCGAAAGUGACAAGGGGAAAGAAUUAAUCCGGCCCCAAUUGGACGGAGCUUGAUUCAUGACCACAUUGGCCAGGACGGGACCUACUACGUGAUCGAGACGUGCCUUGGUUUGUUGCCGGCAUGCAUGCGACCUUAUUUGCAACCGAGCCUAGCUUGAUCAAUGCUCUCUAUUGAUCGUUGCUAAACAUUUUUUUUUAUUCCUCAUAUUUCGAUUAUCUUUUUUCACAUCACCACAUGACUAGUUAGUUUUUUCAUAUUUUGAAAUACAAAAACGCGCUAUCAAGUUGUGGUCCUAUUGUCCCAUUUACUUUGACGUCGAGUGUACCCAAAACAAGUUAUUGAAUUUUUUUAGCAUUGAAUCAAUUGUUUAGAUUUGCAAGUGUAGAGUAUCCAAAUUUACGUUGAGCGAGCACAUAUUUCAUAGAUGAAUUUUGACAAUUAGAUCCAUUCGUACAAUUUAAUUUUGUGUAUACCCAAAUAUUAUGAUUUGUGUCCAGUAUAACAUAACUCUUUGUAAUAGCUAAUAUAAAAUUAUAUAUAUAUAUAUAUUUAAAAUGCUCAAACAUUAUUUAAUUUAAUAGCUAAGAUAAGAAAGGACUGCAGACAAGUAAAGUACAUAGGAGGGCUUGUCCAUUAGGGUGCGUUUGGAAUCACUUCCCAAAGCACUUUGGGGGUCCAAAGCCCCUUGGGCCAAAAUAAUGGUGUUUGGGAAAAAACUUUGGAAGGGACUUAAUGGCAAAGCUAGCAUUUUUAAGGCUAAAAGCCCAAGGCAGGUGAGGACCUGCCUUGGGCUUCUAGCUUUCUUGGCAUGCCCACGCGACAUUGUUCAUUUUUUUCCCGAAAUUAUCCUCAUGAAUUUUUUGUUUUUUGGAGUGCGUGCCCUUGUAUGAGCACUGUUCAUCUUCUUCGGGCUGGCGACUGCUAGAGGGAUGCCAUGACUUAGGCGAUCGUUGCCGGAGAGUCGGGCGACCUCCGUGAGUUGCAGAUCUGGUUGCGACCAGAUGCGGUCACCGGUGACCGUCACCUGCCCCACCGCAACCUCUGCACGGAGCUCGCCAGGGCCGCACGACCCAUCUGGUUGCAAGUCUGGUCGCGACCAGAUCUAGUACUAGAGGCUCAAGUGGCGACCAUAUUUGGGUCGCGUGAGCUCGCUGCCCCUGGAUCUAGGUCGCGGCGGCGUCGCGCGACCUCCCGCGACCUCACCGCCCUAGAUUCAGGGGCGGCGAGGUCGCGCAACCCGCCGCGACCUAGAUUUGGGGUGGCGAGGUCCUCCCGUGACCUUGAUGCCCCGGAUCUAGGUUGCUGGAGGUCGAGGUGGUGUCGCGCGACGUGCGCGACCUCACUGCCCCAGAUUCGGGGUCGCCGGAGGUCGAGACUGCGUCGUGUGAUGCGUGCGACCUCGCCGCCCCAGAUCCAGGGUCGCCGGAGGUUGCGACGGCGUCGCGCGACCUCGCCACCCCAGAUCUGGGGUCGCCGAAGGUCGCCGGAGGUCGUCGGCGGCUACUGCCCUUGCUGGUCAAUUUUUCUUUUGAUAAUAUUUUUUUACCACAAAACUCUUUUGUAAAUGUAAUUCCCCAAACACCAUUUUGCUCAAAGUACUUCACAAAGGGUUUUCAAAGUACAAUUUACCAAACACAUUUUGCAUUUUGAAAAACACAUUUUAACUCAAAGGUUUUUACAUUUUCCUAAAGACUUUCUCUAAAAAUGGUUCCCAAACGCACAUCAUGUUAUACUUUUUGGCUACAUCAUAUCCAGACUUCUCACCCUCAAAUCGUAAGGAGUGAAAACCGAUGUUAAAGAGCCUUCUGUGAAGACUUGACGUUGUCCGACACAUGUGGGCUGGGUCCCACCACCCCCUUCUCUCUUCCUUCUUGUGAUCUCUCUCCUUUGUCCUUGCGUUUCUAUGGCCACGGAGUCUUUUCAUUCGAGGCAUGUUUCCUGCUUUUUCUCACCAUUUGCUUUUUAUAACAUGUAAAGGCUUCACUUAAGUGGUUUUCCUGAGGAGUAUCCAUGAUAAGCUGAUUUACAGACACAAAAAAGUUGAAUGUAUUCAUUUUAUCAGGAUGUGAUGCAUAAUUCUUGUUAUGAUGAACUCUCUGUUUUUCCAGUUUUAAAUGAAAAAAACACUUCAUGCUUAAUGAAUGAUGUUGUUAGAAUAAAUAUUUCUGUCUUUGUAUGACUUUUCAUUUCUUAAGAAACAUUCAUAUGUGGAAUUCUAGUUUAGUACUAAAUGGACUUUAUAGGACCAUAAGAAUGACUACAAUGUUCUUGAUAGUCUGUUUAUUACCUUUAUCGCUUGAAUUAAUGAUACAGCUUACAUAUAUUGUCUGGAACUAUGUUUAUGCCACCAAAGUGGUCCUUAGGCUAUCUUCAAUGCCGUUGGAGCUAUCACUAUGAUAACAGAGUUUGAGAGGUUGUCCCUUUCGAUGCAUCUUGCUUGAUUUGAUAGUCUUUCCUACUCAACCAGCAUUUCCUUCUACCUAAUUAAAUAACAAUGUCCAACUUUCAUUGUAUGCUGUUGGCAUAUCAUUUAUGAGUCAAUGCAUGAUAGUUCUUUAGCUCUAAAUUUUUUCUAAUUGUCCAACUUUCACUGUACGUUGUCGGCAUAUCAUUUAUGAGUCAAUGCAUGAUAGUUCUUUGGACAUAGGUUCACUUUCUUCUUUGUGAAAAUGCCCCCGUUAUUCACUAUAAACACUGCAACGACAUAAUUUUCACAGUAUUAUAUGGAAAAUUCAGAAAGUUCUCACAGCCUUUUAUUCAUGAGAAAUCUUCGGGGGGAGGGGGGGGACUCUUUUGAAACUGGCAUCUCCUCUGACGACAGCUGCAUAUUAACUGUUCCGGUUCCCUAGUGGACCAUACUUUUGAAGACCUCACUGAGGCCGAACCGAACUGAUGGACUAGUCCCACACCAAGGCAUUUAUCCCAGAGAGACCAUUCACCUGAAAAAAGUGGAUGGUAAAGGCACUGAGAUAUCCUCAUUUGUUGGAACAAAAACGUCUAAAGUGAGUGACUGCUGAUUGGAUGACCAAUUCAUGGUCGUCCUAUCCAAAAGUUUUUAUCAUUUUAAGGAAUCUCAUGAGUGGGGAUGCGAAUAAAAGAUCAUUUAGGUUACGUAAUCAAAGAAGAGAAGAUUAAGCCAAGGACAGGAAAACAGAAGCAGGAAGCGUUUUAAACAUAUGCAAGAAGUGCUUUGACAGUAGAAGCAAAAUGUUCUAUCAUAGGAGGAAAAUAUGGUGAAUGGAAUCUGCAACUUCAAAAUUCGAAUUGAAUUUUGAAUGAUUCAAUCUGAAGACCUCACAGUUGAUGAAAUUAUGUUUGGUCAAAAUGUAUUUGAACCUAACUAAAAGCUACAUAUCCAUAUAUCAUGGAAAAGAUUGAGAAGAUUGAACGUUUGCUGAAGCAUAUGUAUUGAAGAUUUUAACCAUAUGCAUAUACAACCAUCCGAAGAAAGUGAAGAUUAUCGCCAUGCUCAACCUAUUGAUUAGAUGGAACUUCAGGAUAUGUAGAGCUAAUUGAUGAAAUUGGAUAUGGAACAACCUCACUUGAUUGGUAGUUUCAUGGAACGAAAUCUCAUGAACCUAUGAAUUGACUUUGAUUAAUAAAAGGCCAUAUGAAGAUUCACACAAGGAUGGAAGAGCGGAAGACAAUGCUGGCUGGCUAAGGGACCUCCGACAUUUCGAUCAAAGAGAACUGAGUAUUGGGAUUCAGAGCAGGGGACAAGAAUGAGGUAUAACGAGAAUACCACCAAUAUGAAGAGCCUACACCUUGGUUCUUAUACUUCCAUUUGUGCCAAACUUAGCAAGACCUUGAAUGUAUUUUGAACAAUUCUUGUAUUGCCUUCUCUCUAGUAAGCACUGCGGAGUGGGCUUACAAAUUUAUAUGAGAGGGAGAGGCUUAACUAAAUGGGAGCAUUGAUAGGAGAUCAUUGUUCAAAGACUACUGGUGUUGUACAAGGGUUUAACACAGAAGCAACUGAUACUGAAGUUGUGUGGAACAGAUGGUAUGAGUUGUAAUAUAUUGGGUGGAAGCGGUGGAUUUAGCCGUGAUUGGAGGCUGGGCUGGUAGUACAUGAAAAGAGAGGAGAAAGGUGGAAGGCUGAACCUCUCCUAUACUUUACCUCAAAUUUGUUAUCUCUACUCCUUUAUUUCUCGUUAAUCACUUAAAGCACCUAUGGUUUCAAGAAUAUUUCUACUAAAAUGAUACCAGAGUGCUAAAAAUUCAAUCCUAACCAAAUUUUGGUGAUCGAAGAUGCUAGAAGCUUGCCUAAAUCAUGAACAAUGCACUUGGAUCUUAGUUAAACAAGGAAUUUGUGACCCUGUUACCCCCGUCUUCCAGCAGAUAACCAAAUGCAAAUUUUGGCAAACAAAUGUAAGAGUUUCAAAAAGUGGCAUGAUGCAAUCGCCUCUUGCUUUACUAGGGAGUAUAGCUCUCCAGUUACCUAGGCCUCCACAGCACCAAAAGAAAAGGUAAGAACAAAAGAUUUCAUUAGCUAGAAGAUUCCCUUCAAAGGUCUGCUCACUAGAAUCGGGCCAAAGUUCAUGCUUAGAACCAUCAACGACUGUAAAUGAGAUAAAAGACUCUCUAGGGUGCAACAGGGUGAAAGUGAGGGUGUCCUCUCAAGCAGACCAACCUACAGCACAAUACAAACAAAACACCAUUACAGGUGAUUAUUGACAAUAUUGACAAUCUUAAAGUCAGAAAAGAGACGAAAAGCAUAAAAAGCAAUUCUUUGAUGAUUUCUCCAUUUAAUUUUCUGAUUAAAUAAUUCACUGUAAGAAAUAUGCAGGCCGAACUUUAAGCAUGUGUUCUCAAUAGUUAGCAAGUAACACAAUUAGCGACUCCCAUUUGACUCGACUUGAUCUGGACCUGAGUUGCCUCCAAUUUUAACCAUAUUAAAAAAACCAAUCAAUUAAAAAUAAAUUAAGGAUGUGUUUAUUUCUUGGAAUAUGAAUGAUUUGCAAAAUAUUUUUCCAAAAAUGAUCUCUUAUAUCACUUGAAAUAAUUAAUCAACAAAAAAGAAAUUUAUUAUCAAAAUAAUUUAUGUAUAAACAUUUUCAUGGACGAUGAUAACAUUUUUUAUUGAUUCAUUUUUAUAAGUAAUACAAGCAGUCAUUUUUAGAAAAUAUUUCUCAAAUUAUUCAUUUUCGUGAAACAAAUAGAGCCAAAAUAUGAAAAUCAAUUAGCAAAUAAAAAAUUACUGAAAAAUGAAUUAGUACAUUAGGAGUGUCAUAACUUUCGUACUAUGCUCACCUGAGUGUCAUAACUUAUUUUUUUCUUCAUUUAUUUGUGCCACAAAUUAUAAAAAAAAAAAAAAAUCAUUCAUUUGAGUGUCAUCAAUGAUUUACCUUAUCAGACAAGUUGACGUGAUGUUAAUUUAUAAUACAUCAUUCGACGUGACAUGUUAGAAAAUUGAAGUCAUCACUUGAUAAGGCUUGAAAGUGCUUUUUUUGCCUUGAAACCAAUUCAAACACUCAAUUUCAUAUUCAAGUACCAUCAAUCACAAUUACAGCAUCAUUUGUUAAGAAACUAAGAAGCACUCGAAAGCCCAUCACUUCAUAUACCCAACUAGGGCCAAAAGUCCUUCACAUAGCAAUCAGAACGAAGGAAUGUCAACAACUCUCUUUUUUACCAGAAGCGCGGAAGCCACUGUGCUUAGGGCCCCUCCUCCUACCCUACACCUUUCCUUUAUUUCCUGGAGAAAGGGCUAAAGCCACCGUCGGGGCUGGUGGGCCCGUCGCCCUUCCCACCACAGCAGCCCGCCGCUCGGUGCUUAAUAUUAUUUCCAGCAAAUUCACACCAAGUUUUCAAAAUUCAUGUACCGGCCAACCAGCAUGUUGCAUAAUUAUCUUCACCCGCCAACCUCCAUGCUUCCCGAAAACAUGGGAAGGAGAAAGCUCGGGAGGGUACAGGGUGAUCGUGGCAAGACACACGGGGUGCAGCAAGUCAAUAAAAACACGAACUUAUAUAUUAUUCAAUUAUUCGAUUUAACAUUAUUUUUUUCUUGUUCUUUCUUUCUUCCAAGUACUGUCUAAUAUUAAUAUAUAUCUUAAAUAUGUGUUUUUCACUUUGACCAGUAAUAGAACAUGCUGGCCAAAUAGUUUACCUCCAUAUAGAUGCUCACGAGGGUUAACUUUUAAAUGGACACGAAAAUGAUAGAAUAUUUAAAUAUUAAAUCAAGCAAACUGUUUGAAGGCUAAAAUUAUUGAGUAAAUGUUUGAUUUAUUAUUUAAAUAUAUUAACACGAUUUAAUAUUUAAAUAUUCUAUCAUGAACACUAAGGCAUGACUAAAAACAACCCAACCUAGCAUUAAUUGAAAGCUUGAAAUAUAUAAAUUGUUCAACAAAUAGACGAUGGUGGAUCAAACGUAGAUACUAAAAAAAAUUAUUUUGCAAUUUUGGGGAGUUCGUCAAUAAUAACGUCAAGAUCUCUAGUUAGGCAAUCAAAGAAGACACUCAAACGGGNNNNNNNNNNNNNNNNNNNNNNNNNNNNNNNNNNNNNNNNNNNNNNNNNNNNNNNNNNNNNNNNNNNNNNNNNNNNNNNNNNNNNNNNNNNNNNNNNNNNGUAAUGUUUGAUUUAUUAUUUAAAUAUAUUAACACGAUUUAAUAUUUAAAUAUUCUAUCAUUUUCAUGUCCAUUUAAAAGUUAACCCUCGUGAGCAUCUAUAUUGAUGUAAACUAUUUGGUCAGCGUGUUUUAUUACUGGUCAAAGUGAAAAACAUAUAUUUAAGUUAUAUAAAUAUUAGAUGGUACGUGGAAGAAAGAAAGAACAAGAAAAAAAUAAUGUUAAAUUGAAUAAUUGCCUCGCCAGAUCCGCGAGCUCGAGGCUCGCCUGGCCAGUCACCAGCCAUCGCCAUGCCGGCCAUUAGAAGGAGGAAGAAGAAAGAAAGAAAAAAGGCAAAAGAAAAGAAAAUUAAAAUAAAAAAAUAAUUAUAAUUGUAUUUUUAUUUAAAAAAUUGUAAAGUUAAAAUGGGAAGAGAGAGAUUGUGAGGUUUUGGUUGAAAAUGAGUUCUAAAUCCAACCCACUUAAGACCCACAUACCUUAAGUCUUUAAUUGUUAAACCUAUUUAACUAGUGUCUUAAAAAAAGAAGAAGACCCAUAUAUGACCCAUUUUGCCACCUCUAGUAGCAGGGCCAUAACCCCAUGCGUCAGUGUUCCAUGUAAACACCUAAAACCGAAGAGAUCACCAAGCAUUCAAGGAAUGAUAAAGCAAAUGCUAGUAUGGAAAGUUGGGGAAUGAGGGACUAACUCAUUUUCCCAUACGCUCAAGUUGUCCACUGACUUCACCAGUCCCUUAAAAACUAGUCGUAGCUAAAUCAUAUGUAAUACAAUGUUAUUAAGAACUCCAGAAAUACAUACUCACUUGGAAAACAUAAAUCAAGUAAAGUGAGUUCCUAAAAAUAUUGGAAAUGUCACAGUCUGAAGAGCGCAACAAAUCAACCAAGAAAAGAUUCAACUGAUUCAUGGGAAAGAAAUAAGAGCAUGCGAAGAUUGACCUCAAGUUUGACAAUCUGCUGCCCAAAAGGGAUAUGAGAAGGGACAUGAUGACUCUGUAUAGGUGGGUCCCUAUCCUUGUUGUUGCCAAAAGAAAGAUUAGGAACUGCGGUGACAAUCGAAGUGGAAAACUCCUUCCUCCAAAAUAGGCUUAAAAAUCAUAUUCCUUGUGGUCACAUGCGUAGCCACCACCUGACCUUCUUGAACAGUCAUUUCCAAUUUCAAUCUCAACCCCUUACUCUUUGUAGUGCCAUCUAUGCAUGCACCAAUUCACACUAAUAGAGCUCUGAUGUACACCUAUUUAUUAUUCUUCCACAUGCCAGCAGAUACAAAAAUGCUAACCCCAUUGGAGAGCAUUGAUUAGAGUAUAGUGUCACGGCCCAAAAGAAAGCAUGUCCAAGAUGUUUCCCUAGCACGGGUGUGACACAUUAAUGACCCUCGGUUUAUGUCCCCGAGACGUAGAGUAUUCUCUUAGGGGCAGGUGAUACUGUAUUUGUACGUAUAUGUUAUAAAUGUGAGUAGCUGGUAGUUGGCAAUAAAUGCCGGUAGUUGGUAGAUGGGGAGGUGCAAUCUCCACCGUUAUAUCUAAGGGAGAUCUACGGAUACGGUUUGCCUCAUACUUGUAUAUAAAUGGGUCUCCUCCCUCAUUGUAAUUCAUUCACAAGCAAUACAAAAACCAGAGCUUCUCUCUCUAAGAGUUUCUCUCUCUACAUAUGAGUCUUGUGAGUCAAGUGUUGAAAGGCUGUUUAGGGGUAAAACCUUAAGGCCGCACGGGUCAGCCUACGUGUGAUCGAAAGUUGAUCAAUCGGCCCGUGACAAGUGGUAUCAGACCUAAUUUGUGAUCCAAGCGCAAGUGUAAUAGCCGAUCCAUGAUCUGACGAGGCGCUCGCCAUGGGUGGUGAUGGUGCUGAUCGUGGGCGGAACGCCGAGAAGGUUGGUGCCAAGGGGAAGAAGACCCGUGGUGGUUCGAGGGAUCCAACAGAGGAUCUUGCACAACGGAUGGCGAAGCUAGAGUUGUUCGUCUUCGAUGUCCAAGGAUCGGUCGAUGACCUGACCCAUACCGUGGAUGGAGUUGACGCCGGAAGGGAGGAGCUAGUUGCGAAAGUGCAAGAGCUCAAGACCGACAUGGGAGAACUUCGCCACGAGUUGCUCGAAACCCUACAGGAGGAACUCGCGUAGCGGUACGAACCCUUAGAGGCCACGAUGACGGCCAUGCGUGCGGAGAUAGCGAAGCUUACGGGUAAGCUCGCUGAAGCACAAGCUGCACGCAUGAUGGGGUGAUCACAGUGUAAGGUCCACAAGUGGACACACCGAAGCCAAAGGAGUUCCGGGGCUCGCGGGUGGCCAAGGAGUGGACAACUUUUUGUGGUAACAUGGAAGCGGCACUUCUAGCAUGGGAAUCAACGACGACCAAACAUGGGUAAACACUACAUCUAUGUACGUAGCGGAUAGUGCUUGUUGUUGUGUUUGUUGUUGUGGCGUGGUCGGUUGGAUGAUAGGUGUGGGAAUCCUAUCACAACUUGGGGUGGUUUCGUCGAGGAGUUCAGAUGGAACUACUUUCCCACUUAUGUGGAGGAGGAAGCUCGUGACGAGCUGAAGCGUCUCGAGCAGAAAGGUGGUGUAUGCGACUACAUCAAGCGGUUUUCGGAGUUGCUGCUCUAAAUCUCCUCGAUGAAUGAAGUUGAGGCGUUUCACUAGUUCAUGGGUGGUCUCAAGCCAUAGACAAAGCAAUAGUUGAAGCGGUACAACAUGGGAGAUUUCACUACGGCCAUGACCGUAGUCGAGUCGCUUGUGGAGUUCAAGGCGUCGCCUUCCACAUCCCGACCGAACACUCAUUCAAGGGACAAAGGCACUGGUGGGGGAGAUAUAACCGCCCGACUGGAGGUAGACCACCACCAGCUGGUCCUCAUCCUCAUCGGGCUCAUGCGGGGCCCAACGGAGGAGGAUAAAGGAAGGUACGCUCGUAUAGCUGUUUCUUUUGCGACGGUCCGCACAUAGCGCAGGAUUGCCCGAACAAGGCCAAGUUGGCUGCUCUUUGCAAAGAGGAUGAGCCUAGGGAGGAAGUGCGAUUGGGAUUGCUGCGACUCUUUAGCACAAUCAAGGCUAAGAAGGCGAAGGAGCCUAAAGGCUUGAUGUUCGCGGACAUGAAGAUCAGAGUGACCACAGUGAGUGCACUUGUGGACACGGGAGCAUCCGACAUCUUCAUCUCGGAGGAAGCCGCGAAGAAACUUAACCUACAGGUUGAGACGGGAGCCUGUUGGCUCAAGAUGGUGAAUUCGAAGGAAGUCCUUGUGAUUGGGGUUGCAAGGGACGUGGAGCUACAACUCGGGUCAUGGAAGGGCAAAGAAACUCUAGAGGUAGUUCCACUUGACGACUACGAUAUUGUUAUUGGAAUUAAAUUCCUAGAUAGAAUCCAUGCAGUUGUAGUUCCCUUUUCCGAAUGUAUAUCUGUGAUUCCGGUCCAUCGUGAGUCGGAUCGUGAUUGGAAGAUGAUUUCGGCCAUGCGACUCACCAAAGGAACAAGGAGGGGCGAAGUGACCUUCUUGGCAACCUUGAAAAUCAAGGAAGACAAGGGUGAAGGGAAGGAAGUCUCGACGAAAGCAACUCGAAUCCUUGACUCGUUCAAGGAUGUUAUGCCUUCGGAGCUGUCGAAGAAGCUAUCACCCAAGAGAGAGGUGGAUCUCUGGAUCAAGCUAGUGCUUGACGCUCAACUGCCUGCCAUGGCACCUUACCGUAUGGCGCCGCUCGAAUUGGAAGAGUUGAGGAGGCAACUUAAGGAGCUGCUUGAUGCGGGCUACAUACGGCCAUCAAAAGCACCGUUCGGUGUGCCGGUUCUGUUCCAAAAGAAGCACGAUGGGUUACUCCAGAUGUGUAUCGACUACCGGGCACUAAACAAGCUGACGGUGAAGAACAAGUACCCAAUCCCGCUCAUUGCGGAUCUCUUUGAUCAACUUGGUGGAGUUCAGUGGUUUACCAAGCUAGAUCUCCGAUCGGGCUACUAUCAAGUUUGGAUCACUGAAGGGGACGAGCCAAAGACAGCCUGCGUGACGUGGUAUGGAUCUUACGACUUUCUGGUAAUGCCGUUCGGCUUAACCAAUGCUCCAGUUACUUUCUGCACGAUGAUGAACAAGGUACUCCACCAUUUCCUAGAUAGGUUUGUAGUGGUUUACCUAGAUGAUAUUGUGAUAUAUAGUCGAACGUUGGAAGAGCAUGUCAAACAUAUAAGACAGGUCUUCCAAACCUUGCGCGAGAACGAGUUAUAUGUUAAGUGCGAGAAGUGUGCUUUUACCCAAGAGAAAGUUCCGUUCUUGGGGCACAUCGUCGGAGGUGGGCGAGUGCGGAUGGACAAGGCGAAGAUCCAAUCAAUCAUCGAAUGGGAGUCGCCGACAAAGGUGCCAGCAUUGAGGUCAUUCCUGGGCCUCACCAACUACUACCGACGGUUCAUCCGGAGCUACUCGAGCAUCACUGUACCACUCACGGACCUACUGAAGAAGGAAAAGGCGUGGGAGUGGACGGAUCGAUGUCCAAGAGCCUUCGACCGAUUAAAGCAAGCCAUGAUCGAGGAGUCGGUGUUGGCGUUGCUCGACCACACCAAACCUUACGAGGUAAAGAUGAACACAUCGGUUUAUGCAAUCGGUGGCGUUCUUAUGCAAGAUGGUCAUCCGGUGGCGUUUGAGUCCCGAAAGCUGAACGACAUCGAGUGUCGAUACAUCAUCCAGGAGAAGGAGAUGAUUGCGGUGGUGCACUGCCUUCGAAUGUGGAGACACUACAUCCUAGGGUCGAAGUUCGUCGUGAGGACGGAUAACGUGGCCACGAGUUACUUCCAGACCCAAAAGAAGUUAAGUUCGAAGCAAGCUCGAUGGCAAGACUUCCUAGCAGAGUUCGACUAUGCGUUGGAGUACAAGUCGGGGAAGGCCAACUCCAUGGUCAACUCGUUGAGCCGAAAGACGAAGCUGAUAAGCCACAUGAUGAGUCGACCGAGUUGUCCUUGGGUCGAUCGCAUCAAAGAAGGGCUGGAGCAUGAUCCAAGAGCCCAAGCUCUCAUCAGGUAUGCCAAGGAAGGUAAGACCCAACAAUUCUGGUGUGAGGACGAGCUCCUCUACACCAAGAGAAGGCGGCUGUACGUGCCUUUCUAUGGGAAGCUAAGGAAGGAGAUCUUGCGCAAGUGCCAUGACUCGAAGUGAGCAGGUUAUCCAGGGAUCCACUGCACAUUGGCCCUCAUCGAAGAUCGUUACUACUGGCCUCAAAUGCGGGACGACGUGGAAGCGUAUGUGAAGACUUGUCUAGUAUGCCAACAAGACAAGUUGGAGUAAUGGUCGUCGCCGGGUUUGCUGGAACCAUUUCCCGUUCCAACUCGUCCAUGGAAAAGCAUUUCCAUGGACUUCAUCGUCAACUUGCCAAAGUCCGAAGAGUGUCGGACUCUAAUGGUGAUGGUUGACCGGUUCUCAAAGUAUGCAAUCUUUGUGCUUGCGACAAAGGAUUGCCCGGCCGAGGAGGCGGCCAAGCUGUUCAUAAAGCAUGUGGUGAAGUACUGGGGAGUGCUACAAACGAUUGUGAGCGAUCGAGAUCCCCGCUUCAUGGGACGUUUCUGGUUCGAGUUGUUCAAGUUGCUGGGGUCAGAGCUGAACAUAUCAACGAGUUUGCACCCCCAAACCGACGGUCAGAGGGAGCGGGUCAAUGCUCUCUUGGAGAUUUACCUCCGACAUUAUGUGAGCACAACGCAAGCAAAUUGGGCGAAGGUGAUCAACGUAGCCCAAUUCUCUUACAACUUGCAACGGAGUGAGUCGACCGGCCAAAGUUUGUUCGAGGUUGCAACUAGGCAGCAAUCGAACACCUCGAACACAUUUGCUUUGGGUUAUCGGGGGAGUAGUACGCCCGUGUAUAAGUUCGCCAAGAACAUGCAAGAAGAGGUGGACUUGGCACGAGUGUGUCUACACAAAGCCUCCAAGCGCACAUGGAGUUCCAAGUUGGAGACCAAGUGUUGGCCAAGUUGCACGUGGUUCUUUGGUACAAGGACGUGCACAAGGGGUUGAUCCAUCGCUACGAGGGGCUAUUUCGAGUGCUACAACGGGUUGGAAAGGUCGCAUACAAGCUGGAGCUACAACCAAAGCUAAAGGUGCAUCCAGUUUUUCAUGUAAGUAUGCUUAAACCCUUCCAAGUUGAUGAGGAAGACUCGAAUCAAGGGGAGUCACAAUGAGCGCCGCUCGGGGCAAAGACCUCGUACGAUCGAGAAGUCGAGAGCAUCUUGGCGGAUUGAGUCAUACGGAAGAGGUAUUGUGUGGCCAAGCGUGAGUAUUUGAUCUGAUGGAAGGGUCUUCCGAAGAGUGAAGCCAGUUGGGAGCCUGAGGAGAGUCUUUGGCAGUUCAAGAAAGAGAUCGAAGCAUUUCACGCCGAAGACGCGAUGAGGGUGUCGCCUGAUUAGGUGGGGGAGAAUGUCACGGCUCGAAAGAAAGCAUGUUUAAGAGGUUUCCCUAACACGGGCGUGACACAUUAAUGACCCUCGGCUUAUGUCCCCAAGACGUAGAGUAUUCUCCUAGGGGCGGGCGAUACUGUAUUUUUAUGCAUACAUUAUAAAUGCGAGUAGCUAGUAAUUGGCAAUAAAUGCUGGUAGUUGGUAGAUGGGGAGGUGCAAUCUUCACCGUUAGAUCUAAGAGAGAUCUACGGAUAUGGUUUGCCUUAUACUUGUAUAUAAAGGGGUCUCCUCCUUCAUUUUAAUUCAUUCACAAGUAAUACAAAAGACAGAGCUUCUCUCUCUAAGAGUUUCUCUCUCUACAUACGAGUCUUGUGAGUCGAGUGUUGAAAGGCUACUUAGGGUAAAACCUUAAGGCCGCAUGGGUCAGCCUACGUGUAAUCGAGAGUUGAUCGAUCGGCCCGUGACAAUAGCCUAAGAAACAAGAUUAAGAACCUCAUCAGCUCUCCAACCCCACACCAAAAAGGGGGAAAAAAGGAAAAGAAAAAAGGCAAGCUCUAGAAAAGGAAAAUGUACAAAAAGUAAAAAUGGCAAGAGAGCUUUUGACAUGCAGUUCCACAUCAGAGAAACAUUGUGCAUGUUACAAAUGAAAACCUGUUGCUACAUAACAAAUUAACAUUCAAAAAAGGAUGAUGCAAUAGAAAACCAAUCCGACAAUCUAGCUUGUUGACUCGCACACUUACCUUCCUUCUUCAGCCCUUAUGACUCCAAUUACACACAGAUUCAUCUUGCCCUAACUCAAAUUUCGAGCACAUGGUUGUGAUCACAAGAAGAUUUUCAUAUUACAAUCACAUUACUUGUUUAAUUUCAUCGCAACUUCAGAUUAAGGAAAAAAAAGGUAUUGCUUCUCCAAAAAAGUAGCACAGACCAUGCAAUCCUCUUGACUUCACUGAAAAUCACAUCACGUUCUCUCUCACAAGUAAUCAAAAGUACACCACAAUGAGAGUCAAAAGCUUGGUCACUCACUCUAUUUGAAAAAGAAAAAAAAAAGAUAGGAAGGUGAAAUCUUGACUUAAAUGCAUACUGAAGAGAAAACUAUGUGAAGGAAAAUGAAAUAUAUUUGAUAGACUGAAGUAGCCUUUCUCUUUCUCUUGUUUCCUACUCCUCACAAAGGAUACUCUUGUGGUUAUAACUAUAUGUAUCAGCAAACGAUAACUUCCAUUAGUCAUCUCUGACUUUGGAGAAACUUCUUUCAGUCCAAAAUGAAGUAGCUAAAUUUCUCUUCCAUUCCCUUCCCGUGUAGUAACCCAAAUAAUAGAAUCAUUGCAAGUGGGUUCUCUUUUUACCCCUUUCAAUACUUUCCAUCCAAGAUAAGAGUCAGAGUAAAUCACAAAUACUUAUAAGUGAGUUGACAAGCAAAAAAAAGUGGGAACUAAAAGUACAAUUGAACCAUGCCAAUAUAAAUUUGUUUCAACUGUACUUAAUAGAAGUCAAUUUCAUUUCAUGUUGACUAGGACAUUUGUGGUUCUUGGUUCUGUUUGGUGUAUAUUGUAUACAAAAAGAAAAAAAAAGAUUUAUUUUACCAAAAUCAAUCUAAUAAGGGUAAAGUCAAACCAAACCGUUGAGUUAGUUCGUCAUUUAUGAGAUGCAGCUCUAAACCAAUAACAUAGAAGAAGCUAAGGAGUAACUUAGCACUUUAAUCGUUAACAUCAAGCAAGAAAAUUAUUUCCUUAGAGGGAAAAUUGCAAACUGCAAAGACAUUGAACGACUAUCAGCUACAACAUUUUUUAUCAGGUGCAGGAAGGAUCUUAGCCUUAUUGUUGACAACAAAAUUAUUACCUUAACAUAUAUUAUCGAUUUGGUUAGGUUUAUCAAGUUAACGCAAUUAAGGGAUCCAAACAAAUAAGUUUAACAUAAAACUUCUCUACAACCCGAGACCAAAUUAUCAAAUCAGCCUUAUCAGAUAAAAGUCAUCAAUUUCUAAAACUUUUACCACCAUUACGGCUCAUCAACUAUGCCAAAGAACUACAUUAACCUAAAGCAACAAACUUAUUGAAUUGCUCAUCUGGGAAUAAUUUGCCUGGCAUCAAGCACCAAGACAAACUAAUUGAUUGGUUGAUUGAUUCAAUCCAGAGACACUAAUUGAUUGCACCGAAAUCCCAAGCAAAGAACAAAAAUGAUGAACAAUUCAGCAUUGUCCGACUACAUAAGGGGCUCCUCUCGACUCAACUCAAGAUGAGAUGAACCAUUCGUCUACCUUUUGACUCAAAUAAGUAGUAUCACGACCAAGAGACUGGCAUCUAAGAUUUGCCAUGUUAAGAAACUUCAAUGUUUUUCAGUCCAUAUAUUUGUAUGUUGACAAUCGGAAGGCCAGGUACAAGCUAUCAUAAGUCAAAUUGCAGCACCUUUAUGAGUCAACUUGACCGGAAAAACUUGCACCAUCUUCAGAUAUCCACUCUCUACUUCCACCAUGCACAACAUUUUGAAACUACUGUCACUAAUCUUGAUCCACUUUCAAAGGGAACAACCAUACAGCUAAAUUCGAAACAACUAAAAAUCAAAAUCAUUUAAAGCAAAAUGCUUACAAGGAGGUUUUGCAGUAUCAACAGAAUAAGUUUCUGUUAUGAGAUUGAGAUCUAACUAGUCAAGCAUGCAGUUUGUUCCUACUGCCGUUAUAGCUCACUACAUGAGCAUUCAAUUAUUCGGUACAUUUCAAGUAUAAAAGAAAGUACUCGAAAAAUGUUUUCUACGUACUAUAUCUUCUCUUUCGAUCUCUAUGUUACUUCUCUACCCUCUUCUUUUUUUGUUCUCAUCGACUUAAUUCAACUUUGCAAUAACAUGGAUAGACAAAGAGAGAUAAAUCAUAAAACAAAACCACAAUAUCUUUAUUUGACAAGGGAAUAACUUUAGCUAAUAGAACUUACUUAAUAACUCAAUAUGGACAUAAUAUGAAUCUAAACGACAACUGAAAAGUUUACUUGACAUCAUCAUGAUCACCUCAAGCAAUUGCCAACACUGAAUGCAUGAAUCAAGUAUGACCUCAAUCUGGCCAAAUACUAAACAGGAGUCAUGUUAAAGAGGAAUGCCAACCAUCUUUCUGACACUAUUGAGGCAUCGAGCAAAACCCCAAUUAAGCUUGGAUCUCCAACAUACUCAGCAAUUUGACCAAGCCACAUGUUGAACAACUCCUGACUAUCAGCAUCGCGGGCUACACCAGUAUCUCAGUCAAAUCCCUGUCCACUAGACUCCCAUGGACAUGCUUUUAACCGCCAGACAAAAUACAAACCAGAAGCCCACGCUUGCGUAAUGCAGUCUCAAGAUAUUCUUGAUCUACACCUUAAAUAAAGUGCUUUGCUCCCAUCCAUUAGUAUAUCAUAAAUCUUCAGUCCAACGACAUCAACUGCCCUUCCCCUCUUCAGAUAUAAUUUCUCACCUUUCAAUUUGCUAAAUAGGAACCACGUGGCCACCCUUCCAACAUGGAAAUGGGAGAUGGGGUCUCCACCUUUUCAAGAGGUUGAGAUGGGGAUGAUUUAAUUUCAAGUGUGGGUUUCGACUCCUAUGCCCUACAAGGAGGCAGACAAAAAAUUCGAGAGUGAGAAUUAAAGUAGGAAUAAAGUAGAACCGACAAAAAAAAAAAAAAUUGUCUAACAGGAAACAUCCUUCUUGGCAUUCUUCCCCCACCCCUUUCCUAACACCCCUCUAAUAUACGUUGCCGCCGCAAAUUCCUCCACGGGCAUGCCCUCGUGCCCCUGAUCAUCCCCCAACUUUGCCACCUCCUACCUCAGUUUUUAGCUGGGAAUCAUCUAUGCUACCCGAUUUUUCCGGAUGCUUCUGGAUUGACCUUAUCAUCCCCAGACGGCUCGUUGCCAUUCUCUCUUCGACGGACAGUGAGGUCGUACGACACGGCACUGGCAUUUACCUCAUUGUCGAGGGACCUGCAUUGGCACUGGAACCAGGACAAUCGUCCGAGGUGGAGACAAGGUUCUUCAUCCUCUUGGGGGGACUUUACUAGUUGGACUUCGGCGUGAUAAGUAGCAGGUUUUUGCGGUUCGCUUCAUCAGUCGGGGCUAUCGGAGUGAAUCGAAUUGGGUGAUCUGCUCGCGCGAGAGCUUUAUGCCGAUCGACGAUGGCGGCUAAACAAAACCUAACCGAGCAAAAGAGCGAUGAGAGAACGAAAGUGGACCAAGAUGUCGGCACGACGGAGGAAACUUUGAAUUUUUGAAAUGCCAUCCUCAAAUUUGAGUGUCUGUUGCAAUUGGUUCCCGAUGCUCUUUUUUGUUCCUUGCCUGAUAAUUUUUUUUUCAAUUACGUCCUUUCUCCCAAACGUUCCCAGAGCAAUUUUUAUGUGCCUAUUUCUAAUAUCAUCAACACAAGGUCAAAUAACACUUCUAGUAAUUCUUCUUUAAUAUCAUCACAGGGGAUGAUCGCCGAAACCAAAACCCAAAAUCGUUGCGCGAUCCUAUCAAUCAAUCUAGACUAUUUUCGAGGUCUUAUGUGUUUACACUAAAAAAAUUAUCAAUUCAUCAUUUGUUAGUACCAUCUACUUUCCAUUCCAAAAAUACAAAAAAUUCUAAAUUCAACUUUUACAACCGAUGUGGCUCAUCAACGAUGCCAAAGAACUACAUAAACCUGAAGCGACAAACUUAUUGAAUUGCCAUCUAGGAAUAAUUUGCCCGGCACCAAUCACCAAGCACCAAGCACCAAGCACCAAGCACCGAGACAAACAAAUUGAUUGUUGACUGAUGCAAUCCAAAGACACCAAUUGUUUGUACCGAAAUCCCCAGCAAAGAGCAAAAAUGACGAGCACUUUAGGUUUUUUUUUUUCUUCUUUUCAGCAUGUGAUUAACCCUGACACACAUGUUAAAAAAAUGAUAAAUCGCGUAUUGUAUAAUAAUUAUAAAAAAAGAAUACAAGGAGUAUCUUUCAAAGAAGAUGAAUUAAGAGCCACCACAACAUAGUUUGUGGGCUCGUCUUAGUGGACAGGCUUGAAAGUGACUGGGCCUACUUAGGCCCAGUGUUAUCUCUAAUUGGAGCUUUACUGAUCAGGAUUGGUGCUUUACUCAUUAAGGAUUUGGUUGGUAACCGGCCAAAUAGUGUUUGUUUCUAUUAUUUUGUUCUCGAGAGUAGUUUUGGAACAUAAUUGCGUUUGGUAAAAAAAUUUGUUCGUGAGAAUAGAUUUCGAGUAGAAUCAAGAAUAAAAAAAAGUCGAUUCUUUGUUCCUGGGAACAAUUUUAUAAUCAAGUCUACCUAUUUUUUUCUUUUUGCUCCUCUUUCUUCUUCCCUCUCACUUGUUCUUCAAGUGCUGCUGUCGCUGCCACCCCUGGUUGAAUGUUGCCAUUUGCCACCCACCACUAUCAGCUGCCGGCAAGCUUGUUGGAGGCUCGCCAAGCCGCCAGUGGCUAGGUGGGCCUCCCCUGGCCACUGGUGAGCCUUGCUUGGCCGGGUGAGGCUCAACCUCGCCUAGCCGUCGGUGGGGCUCGACCUUGCCGACAGUUGGGCGAGCUCGGCCUCACCAAAUCUAGGCGAGGCCGAGCAACGCUUUGAUGAGGUUGUCGGCCCUCAUCUGUUCAGUUGCGGGUCAUCUCAAGGCCAGCAACCGGCCACCUUGAAGAAGAAGAAGAAGAAGAAGAAGAAGAAGAAGAAUAAGAAGGGGAGAAAGAAAGGAAAAAAAAAAGAAGAAAAAAAGGAAAAAUAAUAAAAUUAUUUAAAAAAAAAAUUGAAGUAGGAAUUGAAAUUUUGUUAUAUAUAGAAUACAUAUUUAAUUUGUAUUUUAAUUUAUUAUUUAGUAUUUAUAUUUAUAGUUUAUACUAUAGUUUAUUAUUUACUAUUUAAUAAAAAUUUGAUUAGUUAAUAUUUUUAUUACAUAGUAUAAAUAUAAUUAAUCAAUAUAAUUUCUAUGAUUUGGUAAAAUUUUAGAAUGGAAUAGAAUUCUAAAUUCAAAUCUUUUGAAAUUGAAAAUAUAAUAAAAUAUCUGAUUUAUUCAUUCAUAAGAAGAUAAUUAUAUUGGUGAGUGGUCCAUGAGAAUUCAAUAUCAAAUUUACACUCAUCUAAAAAGGUGAUUGAAAAAGAAUUGGAAUAGAAAUUUUAUGUAGUCACCAAGCGUAUUUCUGUUCUUUUUUUAUUUAUUAUUAUUUUAGAAUCAAAAUUUUGUGCAGUUACCAAACGUGUUCUUUUGUUCAGAAAUUGAACCUGAAAAUAGAAUAAAAAUGAAUCAUUUCUUAUGAGAAAUUGUUCUCGAGAACAGAAUGGUUACCAAACGCGCCCUAAGUGAGCUUAAGGGUAGUUGCUUUACUAGGUCUUUCUAUUACCUUUUGUUCAUGGGUUUACCCUUUAAGAGUUUAAAAAAUCAGCAAUGCUGUUGUCAUCGUGCAGAGGUCGUGUAACAGGAACAAUUUCAUGAAAAUAAUUAAAUGUCCAUGGUUUAUAUUCAUGUGUGUAAUUCUUGAUUAGACAUUAGUUCUGCGUAUUUACUGCUCUUUAAGUUACAAAAUAGAGGGAAUAAAAUUGUCUGACCCCAUGCAUGUCAAUUGUCAUUGGAUCGAAGAAAUUAUAUCUUAACUUUUUAGCCUUAAAAAGCUUUGUCUGCAUUGGAAGCAGCGUAAGUCAUUAACUUGAGUAUAGCAAGUCAAUCAGCAUUAGAUAUUUAAAGUCAUAUUCACACCAUAGGUGUAAUUCCUCGACAAGACACUUCGUCCUAAGCCUCACUCUAGAGUGAUGAAGCUGUGGUUUUCGGUGGAUGGUUUGCUUACAUUGUGGGGUGAACACCCCUCACCUCAUCCAUUCUGCAUGCAUAUCCUAAAUUUUUACCUUCUAACGCUGGAAAUUCUUUUGAGGGACUAUAUGACAAACAAAAUGCCUGAUUCAGGAAGAAUGUUUUCUGCUGAAACUCAAAUGCUAUCGUUGGUUUCUGGUCUUUAGCUUGUUUUCUAAUAUGUAUUAGCUGUGCAAGGCAUCAAAAAACCUAAUGAACAAUUAUGAAAACCUGUAUUGCUUGUUUAUUUAAGUGUGCAGUUUGUUGUUUUUCCCUUACAAUCGUGAAAAUUGAUUGAAUAGGAUUACAAGGCCUCUUGUGUGCACAUGAUGUGCUGAAAAGGAACAUCAGCAGGAAGUAAAUAGGAAAUGAAAGAUCAGAACAUUGAGAAAACAAUAAACUGAAGAAAGACAGCGGCCCACUCAAUAUGCGUUAAUAAGCUUUUGAGGAUGAACUCGUAAUUGUCUCGAAGAAUCUUCUAAGUGUUUCCUAUGCAAGGUCCAUUUGAUGGAAACCCCGGAUAGGCGUGUAUAUUUUUUUAAUCAACAAAUCAUCUUUUUCCUACCAGCUUUUCAACGAUUCUUUAACUGAUUCUUUAUGGAUUUCUUGAGCUGUCUGUUUGUUGUAACGGCUUUGACAGGAAAAACUCAACUAUCACUGAUCUUAUGUCUGGCUCCCGAAAAUGGCGAUUUUCAUGGAAUUCCAUGUGACGUGAAGGGUGUAAUCAAUUCAUAUCAGUUGAGUCCUUUUGAGGCAAAAGUGGGUUGUUUUCUCGUUAGCAUUUCAUGCUGAUUGCCCCAUAUUUAACAUUAUCUUAACUUGUAGAGAGAACCAUACGCAGCUUUGACAAGUUAUGGUAUCCGUGAGUACUAAUGUUUACUUACUGAGCAUCUUACAUUGCCAUGGACCGCUAGCGUAUUUGACAAGGAACUGCUAGCAUAUUUGACAUCUGUUCAUGCCUUUUCUCUUCCCCCAUAUUCCAAAUUCUAUAACUUUCUUUCAUGAAUUCUCCCUCAUUUUUUGGAGGGGACAUCUCAUUUAAGUAACUAAUGCAUAUUGGGCAAUAUGUCUACAUCGAAGUGUCUUUUAGAUUCCAUUCGUUUCGUGGAGAAUGUAGCAUUUUUAGAAAAAUAUUUUCUAAGAAAUCAUUUCUAAGAAAAUAUAAUUAUUUUCCGAUGUUUGGGUGAAACUUGAAAAUGAAGUGGAAAAUAUUUGCCGCUGUUCGGGAAGGAAAAUAUUUUCAUGUAUACACUCUUUUUCAUUUAUUUUAUUUUUAAAAAUCAAUUUUUAAUUAUUUUAUUAUUUUAAAAAUCAAGUAUUAAAUUAUUAUUUUUUUCAUUUUUUUCUUAUAUAUUUUUUCAUUUUUCUUUUCUUUUUUUUCCUCCUCUUCUUCUUGGUCGGUUGUCAGCCAUGGCGAUGGCCGACGAUUGGCCACAAGCGAGCCUAGGUUCGCCGCUCGCCGAUCUAGCAAGGCUCGAGUCCGGUGAGCUCAAGGCUCACUAGAUCAAUUAGCGUGACCUAUUAGCAAGUGCAUCACCACAAGUUCACGCUCACCAAUCUGGCGAGUGGUGAGCCUAAGCUUGCCAAAGGUGGGCACGCUCGAGGUUUGCCUGUGGCUGGUUGUUGGCCAUGGCCAUGGCCGGCAACCAGCCAAGAUAGAAGAAGAGGAAAAUGAAGAAAAGAAAAAAAAAAUUCUAAUUAAAAGAUGGAGAAGAAAAAGGGGGGAGGAAGCAAGGGUUUAUAGGGAUGCAAGACAAGAGAGACUAUCCAAUAAUUUCUCAUAUUUAUUAAAUAAUUUAAGAGUGACACGACAUCUCUUCGUUUAUCCUCAAUGCAUGUCACCUAAAUCUGAGAGGUGUAAGCACAUUUCUAUUGAUAUGUGGAACCUCGAACCUUUAACAGCUUCUAUUGAUGGAUGCCAAAAGGGGGGACUAUUUUGGGUUGUCAGCCAAAUUUUGCGUUCUUUUGUGAGAUAUUUGACGGUUCUUAAAACUGACUCUAUCAUUAGUACAUGUGAUUUCACUAGAUUGACAAUAAUUUUUGCCUAGAUCCGUGCAAUUAAGGUUGUGACUUAGGUAUUAGACUCCUUCAUUAUGCUUCAAUCGUAGCUCAUCCAUGGACAACGACCUUGCAUUUUGAUUAUGAUUUCUUAGUCUCAAUAAAUCACAACCACCGAAAUUUACAUGUGAAAAGCAGAUUUUUCUAUUUGUUGGCGUUGUAAGAUGGUGUGUAUGAUGGAAAGGGAGUUUGGUGGAGUCCUAGUUUGAAUGGGAGACAUGUUCUAUUAUUCAAACCCACCCGAACCAAACUUACAUCCAUUUUGUACUAGUGACACCCUGUUGAUUAGGAGCGGCUGGAUUGUGGAGGCAUUAGUUUUGGUUCUUUGGGGGGUGAUUUUGUGACAUUUACAAUCCACAGCAAACCUAAAAAGCACUGACACUCUUCGGGAGUUUUCGUGUCGUGUCUAACACUCUGACAGUCUCAUGCACUCUUUGACACUUUGUCAACACGUGUUGGAAAAUCUAACACCUGGUCAAUUUUUUUGACACUCUCUAACACUCGAGUCGAAAUUCCGUCUUGCGAGUUCUAGACAUGUCAUUCUGACAGGCAAGGUCAAUUUUGAAAAUUUUCUAAAAAUGAGGAUUCAAUAUAUAUAUAUAUAUAUAUAUAUAUGUUAAAAAUAAAUAAUAAUAAUAAUAAUAAUAAUAAUAAUAAUAAUAAUAAUAAUAAUAAUAAUAAUAAUAAUAAAUGGGAAAGAAGAAAAGUUAGUAUUCUCUUCUGUUUCGACAUGCAUUUCCUAUGAUACACAAUUCAUUUCAAAAGUUUUUUUUUUCUCCUCUUUUGACACAUCUGACACACGAAUUCAAAAUGUGAAUUGCUUGUUUUUUUCCUCUAAGUUUUAUGGAUUAUUGGAAUGAAGUUGAAUUUAUCAACUUGAAACAAUGAAUGAUAUUAAUAAAUUCUGGAUUAAUGUUUUUGGUUUAAAUUCAUUCUAGGCUUUUGUUAUUAUUUAUUUAUUUGUGAAUUUGAAUCAACUUAAUUUGAUUGAAAUAAUCAUAAAAAUAAUAAUUUGUCAUGUAUAUAUAAAAAUAUACAUUUAGUAUACAACGUGUUAGAAUUCUCUUUUUUUUUUUUAGAAAUGAUUUAUCGGUGUGUCGUGUCGUGUUGCAUGUUGUGUGUCGAUAUUGGUGUUGGUGUCGGUGCCAUUUAGUAGUGUACGACCUUCGGCUUCAAUAGCGGAGAUAUGAAAGUAUGGGAUUGUAGUUAUUCCUGACCUAACAUCGCAAAGACAUUUUAUGACGUUUUUCUUAUUGUUUCUUCUUGAAAUUUGGCGAGUUCUCACUCAUUUUCUUUCAUAUUUUUGCUUUAUUUUUUUGUUUAUAUUCGACGGUUUCCGAGAGAAUGUUUUAUAAUUUGAGAUAUUGAGUUUUACAAAGAGUAAAAUAAAAAUUUAGAGGCUUUUCAUGAUAUUUGGCCUUCAAAUUAUUUCCAUUUUGUCCGCUAUUGCUAAUACUUUUAUUAGUUUAUCUUAAAGGAAACAACAUAUUUAGUGACAUUUUUUUAGAAAAAAAAAAGUCGGAAGAUGCAUAGUUGGGGAUUAUCAGUAAUUUCCUUAAAUGUCCAUAUUUCUAGGAUUAUAUAUAUAUAUAUAUAUAUAUAUAUAUGUAUGUAUCUUCUAUAACUAUACAUAUCCUCGAUUGAAUGAUGUUAUUAGACUUAUGUAUUUUUCAUUACAAGAUAAAGAAUAAUUCUCUCUUCCACAUAUUUCUUCUCUUGCUAUAGAGCUUUUUGUGGUGAAAAAAGAUACAUAAGUGCCAUCUAACUUUUUCAAUUAGUUUGGUGCUAUAUCGCCAUGUUGGUUGAAUAUUGAUUACUACAAUGCUUAUCAUGAGAUAUUCUGGCUAUUUGUCUUAUGUUAUUUUUUAAAUUAAUUUUUCAGUUUGGCAUGGCAUUUUAAAAAGAAACCAAAGUCUAGAUAAAGCACUAGAGGAAGGAAAAUUACCAAAAUAAAUCUAAAUCUAUUGCAAUUUUUCUAAUUCAAUUCUAAGUACUUUUUUUUUUGGCUAAUUCAUUUAUAAGAUUUUUGCAAUUGUGUUAAUUUAGUCAAUUUGGUCAAUUUUGGCCUACCGAUGCUGAUGUGGACAAUUUUUGAAUAAUAUUAUAUAUUUUUGAAUUUAUUAUUAUUUUUUCUUUUUUCCUUUUCUUUUCCUUUUUCCUCCUUCUUCUUUUUCCCUCCUCCCUCUGUCUAGCCAGCCAGAGGCGAGCGUCGGCAAGGCUCGCCCCUGCUGGCCAAUGCGAGGCCACCCUCACCAUGGCUAGGUGAGGCCUCGCCUGCCUCUAGCCUAGGCAAGAGGUGUAAGCACAUUUCGGUUGAUAUGUGGAAACUCUAAUAGCUACUAUUGAUGGAUGCUAGAAGGAGGAACUUUUUUGGGUUGUAAGCCAAAUUUUGCGUUCUUUUGCGAGACAUUUGAAGGUUCUUAGAAUAUGACUUUAUCAUUAGUACAUGUAAUUUCACCAGAUUGACCAUAAUUAUGCUCCUAGAUCCCUAAGAAAUUCACUUUAAGUGAAACAAAUGCCGAAAAAUUUGAAAAAUGUUUUCUUGGACAUUAUUUUUUUGUGAAACGAAAAAUGCCCUAGCUGAAAAUAGUUCUUUCGCAAUGAUCUCCUUUCUGCUGCUUUAAGGGGUAUAGUUGUGUUUACGACCAAAGUGGACUGAUAUGGGCUUUGCUUGGGAAUUUCUUUUGGUCUUUGUAGUUUCUUUUUGGGUUAAUAUCUUGAAAGUACACAUGUGAUAAAUUUACUUUGAACUAAUUUUUUUACCAUAAAAAUAUCCAUUUCCAUUGAUGACUUGUUAUUCUUUCUUUUUUUUCAAAACCUUUCCUUUUUUUUUUUAAUUUCAUAUAAUAAAUAAGGAUGUACAAUAGAUAAAAUCCUAAGUUAAGAACAUUGAAAAAUUAAGCAACCAAAAACUGGUACAUCUUUGAUAAAUUUAUCCCAAACUAGUAUAUUUAUGACAAAUUCAUCCUCUAAUAGUUUCCAUUGAAUUUUACUAUCAAAUUGCUAAAUGUGAUGACACGUGACAGUUGACUAGUGUACCAAUUUGGGAUUUUACUCUUCUUAUGUCACAAUUGUACAAUUCGUGUAGUUUUUUUUUUUUGGUGGUAUUAAUCUAAUUUAACAAAGCGUAUUAGUUUAUCUUAAAGGAAACAACAUUUUUAUUGAAUUUUUUUUAGAAAAAAAAUAAAAGUCAGAAGAUGCAAAGUUGGGGAUUAUUAGUAUAAUUCCUCAAAUGUCCAUAUUUCUAGGAUUAUAAAUAUAUAUAUAUAUAUAUAUUCUUUAACUGUACAUAUCCUCGAUUGAAUGAUGUUUAGACUUAUAUAUAUUCUCUCUUCCACAUAUUUCUUCUCUUGCUAUAGAUCUUUUUGUGGGGAAAAAGAUACAUAAGUGCCAUCAAACUUUUCAAUCAGUUUGGUACUAUAUCGCCAUGUUCGUUAAAUAUUGAUUACUACAAUGCUUCUCGUGAGAUAUUCUAACUAUUUGUCUUAUGUGGUUUUUUAAAUUAAUUUUUUAGUCUGGCAUGGCAUUUUAAAAAGAAGCUGAUGUCUAGAGGAGGGAAAAUUACCAAAAUAGACAUAAACCUAUUACAAUUUUUCUAAUUCAAUUCUAAACAUUUUUUUUUCUGGCCAAUUUGGCCUACACUGACAUGGAUAAUUUUUUAAUAAUAUUAUAUCUUUGGAAUUUGUUAUUCUUUUUUAUUUUAUUUUUCCUUUUUUCCCCUUCUUCCUCCUCCCUCCUUCCUCUGGCCAGCUAACUAGAGGUGAGCGCCGGCGAGGCUUGCCCCUGCUGGCCACUGGUGAGGCUACCCUUGUCAUGGCUAUGUGAGGCCCUGCCUACUUUUGGCCUAGGCAAGCCUCAUUAGCCAUGGGUAAGUCGUGGCAAGGCUUGAUUUUCGCUAGAUCCAGCGAGGGUGAGCCUCGCCCAACCACUAGCAACCCUCGCCGAGGCCUCCGGCAAGGUCGAGCCUCACCCAUGUCCGAUGGGGCUUGACCCUCGCUAGAUCCGACGAGGGCAAGCCCCACCAGCCCAGCUAACGGCUUAGGUGAGGUCAUAUGGUCAUCACCAGGCUUCCUUGAGGCUAGUGAGGUCCUUCGCCAGCCCUGCCUUUGGUGGCGAUCGGUUAGAGGAAGGAGAAGGAAGUGAAGAAAGAAAAAGAAUAAAAUUAAUAAAAAAAAUUGUAUAUUUUUGUCAAAUGUUUGAAAGUUUGGAUAAAAUCCAACUUUAACAUUAGUAGAUGUAAUUUCACUAAUUUGACAAUAAAAAUGGCUGUAGAUCUAUGCCAUUAAAAUUGUGACUCUGGUAUAGGAGUCUCGUUCAAAGAAUUAAUAAUGGAGGGAGAGAUAGUAAGGAGAGGGAAGAGAGGAAGUUUUGAAAACUCUAAUAAGUAUGACCCAUUUCAAACACGUUAUAAUUAGUGAGUGGAGCUUGCAUGGAAAGCCACGACUAUCCAAUAAUUUCUCACAUUUAUUAAAUAAUUUAAGAGUGACACGGCAUCUCUUUGUUUAUCCUCAAUGCAUAUCACCUAAAUCCAGGUGUAAGCACAUUUCAAUUGAUAUGUGGAACCUCUAAUAGCUACUAUUAUUGGAUGCCAGAAGAGGGGGACUGUUUCGGGUUGUGAGCCAAAUUUUGCAUUUUUUUGUGAGACAUUUGAAGGUUCUUAAAAUCUCUCUUUAUCAUUAGUAGGUGUAAUUUCACUUGAUUGACAAUAAUUUUGCUCCUAGAUUCAUGCAAUUAAGAUCGUGACUUAGGUAUUAGACUCCUUCGUUAUGCUUCAAUCAUAGCUCAUCAAUGGACAAUGACCUUGCAUUUUGAUUAUGAUUUCUUAGUCUCAAUAAAUCACAACCAUCAAAAUUUACGUGUGAAAAGCAGCUUUUUAUAUUUCUUGGCAUUGUAAGAUGGUACGCAUGAUGGAAAGGGAGUUUGGUGGAGUCCUAGUUUGAAUGGGUGACAUGUUCUAUUAUUCAAACCCACCCAAGCCAAACUUACAUCCAUUUUGUACUAGUGACACCCUAUUGAUUAGGAACGGCUGGAUUUUGUAGGCAUUAGUUUUGGUUCUUGGGGGGAAUUUUAUGACAUUUACAAUCCGUAGCAAACCUAAAAAGCACUAACACUUUUUGGGAGUUUUCGUGUUGUGUCUAACACUUCGAUAGUCUCGUGCACUCUUCGAUACUUCGUCAACACGUGUCGUAAAAUUCAACAUCUGAUCAAUUUUUUCGACACUCUCUAACACUCGAGCUGAAAUUCCGACUUGCAAGUUUCUGACAUUUGAUUUAGACACACGAGGUCAACUUUAAAAUUUUUCAAAAAAUGAGGGGUCAAAAAAUAUAUAUGUUAAAAAAUAAGAAAAUAAUGAUAAAAAUAAUAAAUGGGAAAGAAGAAAAGUUAGUAUUCUCUUUUGUCUCGACUCACUCUUCUGGUGAUAUGCAAUUCAUCCCCCAAGUUUUUCUUUUCUUUUCUCUUCCGACACAUUUGACACGCGAAUCCAGAAUAUGAAUUGCUUUUUUUUUUUCUCUAAGUUUUAUGGAUUAUUGGAAUGAAGUUGAAUUUAUCAAGCUGAAACAAUGAAUGAUAUUAAUCAGCCUAGGCAAGGUUGUCUGGCCAUGGCCAGGCUUCCUUGAGGCUGGUGAGGUCGCUUGGCAACCUUGGCUUUGGUGGUGACUGGUUAGAGGAAGGAGAAGGAAGUGAAGAAAGAAAAAGAAAAAGAAUAAUAAAAAAAAUUGUGUUCUUUUGUGAAAUGUUUGAAAGUUAGGAUAGAAUCCAACUUUGACAUUAGUAGAUGUAAUUUCACUAAUUUGAUAAUAAAAAUGGUUGUCAAUCCGUGCUAUUAAAAUUGUGACUUAGGUAUCGGAGUCUCAUUCAAGGAAUUAAUAAUGGAGGGAGAGAGUAAGGAGAGGGAAGGGAGGAAAUUUUGAAAACUCUAAUGAGUAUGACUCAUUUCGAACACAUGGUAAUUAGCGAGUGGAGCUUGUGCGAAAAGCCACAACUAUUUAAUAGUUUCUCACAUUUAUUAAAUAACUUAAGAGUGACACGACAUCUCUUCGUUUAUCCUCAAUGCAUGUUACCUAAAUUCUAGAGGUGUAAGCACAUUUCUGUUGAUACGUGGAACUUGUAAUAGCUUCUAUUGAUGGAUGCCAAAAGGAUGGAUUGUUUUGGGUUGUCAGCCAAAUUUUGCGUUUAUUUGUGAGACAUUUGACGGUUCUUAAAAUCUGACUUUAUCAAUAGUACGUGUGAUUUCACUAGAUUGACAAUAGUUUUGCUCCUAGAUUCGUGCAAUUAAGGUCGUGACUUAGGUAUUAGACUCCUUCGUUAUGCUUCAAUCGUAGCUCAUCCAUGGAUAACAACCUUGCAUUUUGAUCAUGAUUUCUUAGUCUCAAUAAAUCACAACCACGAAAAUUUAAAUGUGAAAAGCAUAUUUUUCUAUUUGUUGGCGUUGUAAGAUGGUGCGUAUGGUGGAAAGGGAGUUUGGUGGAGUCCUAGUUUGAAUGGGAGACAUGUUCUAUUAUUCAAACCCACCUAAACCAAACUUACAUCCAUUUUGUACUAGUGACACCCUAUUGAUUAGGAGCGACUGGAUUUUGGAGGCAUUAGUUUUGGUUCUUUGGGGGGAUAUCGUGACAUUUACAAUUCACAGCAAACCUAAAAAGCAUUGACACUCUUCAGGAGUUUUAGUGUCGUGUCUAACACUCCAACAGUCCUUUGCACUCUUUGACACUCUGUUAACAUGUGUUGGAAAAUCCAAUACCUGGUCAACUUUUUCGACACUCUCUAACACUCAAGUCGAAAUUCCAUCUUGUGAGUUUUAGACAUGUGAUUCUGACCGACAAGGUCAAUUUUGAAAAUUUCGAAAAAUGAGGGUUCAAAAUAUAUAUGUUAAAAAUAAAAAAUAAUAAUAAAAAUAAUAAAUGGGAAAGAAGAAAAAGUUAGUAUUCUCUUCUGUUUCCACUCACAUUUCCUAUGAUACACAAUUCAUCCCAAAUUUUUUUUUUCUCUUCUCUUCCGACAUGUUUGACACACGAAUUCAAAAUGUGAAUUGCUUGUUUUUUUCCUCUAAUUUUUAUGGAAUAUUGGAAUGAUGUUGAAUUUAUCAACUUGAAACAAUGAAUGAUACAAAUAAAUUCUGGAUUAAUGUUUUUGGUUAAAUUCAUUCCAGGCUUUUGUUGUUAUUUAUUUAUUUGUGAAAUUGAAUCAAAUUAAUUUGAUUGAAAUAAUCAUAAAAAUAAUAAUUUGUCAUGUAUAUAUAAAAAUAUACAUUUAAUAUACAACGUGUUAGAAUUCUUUUGUUUUUUUAGAAAUGACUUAUCAGUGUCUCGUGUCGUGUCGCGUGUUGUAUGUCGAUGUUGGUGUUGGUGUCGGUGCUAUUUAGUAGUGUACGACCUUCGGCUUCAAUAGCGGAGAUCUGAAACUAUGGGAUUGUAUUUAUUCCUGACCUAACAUCGCAAAGACAUUUUAUGAGGUUUUUCUUAUUGUUUCUUCUUGAAAUUUGGCGAGUUCUCACUCAUUUUCUUUCAUAUUUUUGCUUUAUUUUUUUGUUUAUAUUCGACAGUUUCCGAGAGAAAGUUUUAUAAUUUGAGAUACUGAUUUCACAAAAAGUAAAAAAAAAAAAAGUUAGAGGCUUUUCAUGAUAUUUGGCCUUCAAAUUAUUUCCAUUUUUUCCGCUAUUGCUAAUACUUUUAUUAGUUUAUCUUAAAGGAAACAACAUAUUUAGUGACAUUUUUUUAGAAAAAAAAAAGUCGGAAGAUGCAUGGUUGGGGAUUACCUAUAAUUUCCUUAAAUGUCCAUAUUUCUAGGAUUAUAUAUAUAUUAUAACUGUACAUAUCCUCGAUUGAAUGAUGUUAUUAGACUUAUGUAUUUUUCAUUACAAGAUAAAGAAUAAUUCUCUCUUCCACAUAUUUCUUCUCUUGCUAUAGAGCUUUUUGUGGGGGAAAAAGAUACAUAAGUGCCAUUUGACAUUUUCAAUCAAUUUGGUGCUAUAUCGCAAUGUUGGUUGAAUAUUGAUUACUACAACGCUUCUUGUGAGAUAUUGUAGCUAUUUGUCUUAUGUUAUUUUUUAAGUUAAUUUUUCAGUUUGGCAUGGCAUUUUAAAAAGAAACCAAAGUCUAGAUAAAGCACUAGAGGAAGGAAAAUUACCAAAAUAAAUCUAAAUCUAUUGCAAUUUUUCCAAUUCAAUUUUAAUUUUUUUUUUGGCUUAUUUAGUUAUAAGCUUUUUGCAAUGUGCUGAUUUAGUCAAUUCGGUCAAUUUUGGCCGGUCAAUGCUGAUGUGGACAAUUUUUGAAUAAUAUUAUAUAUUUUCGAAUUUAUUAUUAUUAUUAUUAUUUCCUUUUUUUAUUUUCUUUUUCCUUUUUUUUGCUUCUUCUUUCUCCCUCUUUCCUCUGGCCAGCCAACCAAAGGCGAGCGCCGGUAAGGCUCACCCCUGCUAGCCAAUGCGAGGCCACCCUUGCCAUGGCUAGGUGAGGCCCCACCUGCCUCUGGCCUAGGCAAGAGGUGUAUGCACAUUUCGGUUGAUAUGUGGAACCUCUAACAUCUAGUAUUGAUGGAUGCCAAAAGGAGGGACUUUUUUUGGGUUGUAAGCCAAAUUUUCCCUUCAUUUUUGAGACAUAUGAAGGUUCUUAGAAUAUGACUUUAUCAUUAGUACAUGUAAUUUCACCAAAUUGACCAUAAUUAUGCUCCUAGAUCCGUGCAAUUAAGAUCAUGACUUAGGUACUAGACUCCUUCGUUAUGCUUCAAUCAUAGCUCAUCUAUGGAUAAUGACCUUGCAUUUUGAUUAUGAUUUUUUAGUCUCGAUAUAUCACAAGCAUCAAAAUUUACAUGUGAAAAGCAAUUUUUUCUAUUUGUUGGCAUUGUAAGACAGUACGUAUGAUGGAAAGGGAGUUUGGCGGAGUCCUAGUUUGAUUGGUAGACAUGUCCUAUUAUUCAAAGCCACCCCAACCAAACUUUCAUCAAUUUUGUACUAGUGGCAUCCUAUUGAUUAGGAGCGGCUGGAUUUUGGGGGCAUUAGUUUUGGUUCUUUGGGGGGAUUUUGUGACAUUUGCAAUCAACAGCAAACCUAGGAAGCAUUGAUACUUUUCGGGAGCUUUUAUAUCGUGUUCGACAUUUUGACACUCUCAUGUACUCUUUGACACUUUGUCAAUACGUGUUGGAAAAUCCAACACUUGGCCAACUUUUUUAACAUUCUCCGACACUUGAGUCAAAAUUCCGACAUGCGAGUUUCCGACAUGUAAUUCUAACACGUUAGGUCAAUUUUAAAAAUUUUCAAAAAAAGAGGGGUCGAUAUAUAUAUGUGUGUGUGUGUGUGUGUGUGUGUGUGUGGAAAAGUGAAAAGUAAUUAAAAAAUAAUAAAUGGGAAAGAAGAAAAGUUAGUCUUCUCUUAUGUUCUAACUCUCACUUGCCAUAAUACACAGUUCAUCCCCCAAGUUUUUUUUUUCUUUUUUCUUCUGACAUGUCUGACACACGAAUCUAGAAUAUGAAUUGCUUGUUUUUUUCCUCUAAGUUUUAUGAAUUAUUGGAAUGAAGUUGAAUUUAUCAAAUUGAAGCAAUGAAUAAUAUUAACAAAUUUUGGAUUAAUGUUUUUGGUUUAAAUUAAUUCUAGGCUCUUAUUUAUUUAUUUAUUUAUUUGUGAAUUUGAAUCAAAUUAAUUUGAUUGAAAUAAUCAUAAAAAUAAUAAUUUAUUAUGUAUAUAUAAAAAUAUACAUUUAAUAUAUAACAUGUCAGAGUUCUCUUUUUUUGAGAAAGACGUGUCAGCAUGUGAUGUUGUAUUAUGUCAUGUCGCAUGUCGAAUGUUGGUGUGGGUGUUGGUGCUACUUAGUAGUAAACGACCUUUGGCUUCAAGAGUGGAUAUAUGAAGGCAUGGGAUUGUAAUUAUUCUUGACCUGACAUCGCAAAGAUGUUCUAUGGCGUUUUUCUUAUUGUUUCUUCUUGAAAUUUGGUGAGUUCUCACUCAUUUUCUUUCAUAUUUUUGCUUUAUUUUUUUUUGUUUAUAUUCGACAGUCUCCGAGAGAAUGUUUUAUAAUUGGAGAUAGUGAUUUUUAUAAAAAAGAAAAAAAAAAGUUGAGAGGCUUUUCAUGAUAUUUGGCCUCAAAUUAUUUCUAUUGUGUCAACUGUUCCUAAUCCUUUUAUUAGUUUAUCUUAAAGGAGACAACACUUUUAUUGACUUUUUUUAGAAAAAAAUAAAAGUCGGAAGAUGCAUAGUUGGGGAUUAUAAGUACAUUUCCUUAAUUGUCCAUAUUUCUAGGAUAAUAUAUAUAUAUAUAUAUAUAUAUAUAUAUAUAUCAUCUAACUAUACAUAUCAUCGAUUGAAUGAUGUUAUUAGACUCAUGUAUUCUUCAUUACAAGAUAAACAAUAAUUCUCUCUUCCAUAUAUUUCUUCUCUUGCUUUUUGUGGGGAAAAAGAUACAUAAGUACCAUCUAACUUUUUCAAUCAGUUUGGUGCUAUAUCACCAUGUUGGUUGAAUAUUGAUUAUUACAAUGCUUCUCGUGAGAUAUUCCAGCUAUUUGUCUUAUGUGGUUUUUUAAAUUAAUUUUUCAUUUUGGCAUGACAUUUUAAAAAGAAACCGAAGUCUAGACAAAGCACUAGAGGAGGGAAAAUUACUAAAACAUGCCUAAACCUAUUGCAAUUUUUCCAAGUCUGUUCUAAGCCUUUUUUUUUUUUGCCGAUUCAGUCUAUUUAGCCAAUUUUGGCCAAUCGGCGCCAGCCGUCUAGUCGAUGCUGGAUUGGAAAAACUGCGAUAGGUUUAGGACUAUUUUGGUAAUUUUCUCCACAAGAGGACAUGGAACUUGUGUCUAAGUGAAGCCAAACGAGAAGAAGCCAAAGAAGAACGAUGGAAGACAUACCGAGAGUCAAAGCGACUGUCUUGGUUAGCUCCACAACAUUUAUUCGUUUGUUUCCUGCCAAAUAUCCUGAAUAACAUAUAAAACUGGAUUUUCAUUUAUCUAUUUCGGAGCUUAUUAUUGAUAGUGGCAUGAUAUGUUCUCCGCUGUGCGACUUCAAAGGGAAUGAUCAUCUAACUUACUACAGUUUUGUGAAGUCAGUUGAUUUUGCGCUCUGUAUUUCUGCAGCUCGCAGUUUUCUAUUUUCAUCAGGAAAUGUAUCAAAAAAGUCUUCAACCUAGAGUAUAUGGCUUCGGCUUCACUUUGCAGAGCAACGCCAAGUCUCCAUCACUUUGUCCUGACAAAAUUGACAUGAUCGGGAGCCACUUGUUCGGCUCCUAGUCUUCAUUGCAAAUAUCAACAACUAAUUUUGCCCUAAAUCCUUGUCUGUGGAAUUAGGUUUCAAGAGCCCAACGAAUUUAAUCUAAAUUGUUAAUUUAAGGCAAACAAAUGUGAUGCAAAGCCUUUUUUUUUUUUUUUUUACUUUGUCGGCAAGCUACAUCAAACCUUUUGCAUUAAAAUAAGGCUACGACAGAUUUUUCAGAUACACAAAUUGCCAUUAGCACCAAGGUGAUCAAUUUUUCACCAAAAUUGCAUUGAAGUGAUUGGGAAAAAGGUUGUGGCAUUGAUAUGGAAAUUAUAUGAAAGUUAUGACACUUGGAGAGUCAUUUUCCCGAACUUUUGUUGUUUGAGGAAGAGCCCCUUGAGCCUUUUACACAAUGUUUGUAGCAACAAAGCAUAAGCGACGCCGAUGUUGUUUUCCACCAAACUCGUCACUCUUGAGUGCUGUUUUGAUGCUCUUAUGUUGCUUGUUUCGGAAAUUUCAUUGCUAUUCGCUGCCACAAGUGCCUUCAUGCGCUUCUGCCCCAUUGGUUUCACAUGCCCUGUGCCUUCGUGCGCCGAAGCUCCUUCACAUGUAUUGUUGACGUCAUCACACAUAAGCACUGGCGAGGCGUCCAGUCGAUACACAUGUCAUGUAGAAAGCGUUUUGCAUGUAGCAACAAAAAUAAGUCAUCCAAUGGUAUGUUUGGUAACAUGUCAAACAAUAUUUGAUAAUAUUAUUUUGUUCUUCAGAACAAAAAAGAAGAAAAUUUCGUUUGGUAAUUUUUUGGUUUCUGGAAAUAAAUUUGGAAUAGAAUCAAAAGUAAAAAAAAACUUACUUCUUUGCUUUCGGGAACAACUCCAAAAUCAAACCAAAUCAUGUUCUUUUUUUUUUCUCUUCUAUUUUCUUCUUUUCCUUUUCUUGCUUUUUCUUUUUCCUCUAGCUGAUCGCAAAAAUAUAAUAAAAUUAUUUUAAAAAUAUAAUAAAUUAGGGUAUUAUGCUAAAAAUCCUAAACUGAUAUACUUGUGACAAAUUAUCCCAAAUUAAUUUUUUGACUAUCAAAAACCUCAAAUUAGUACACUUUUGACACAUUUACCCUAAACUGAUACACUUACGAUAAAUUUACCUUAUGUUAGUUUUCGUUAAAUUUUAUUAUCAAAUUAUUAAAUUAAAUGAUACAUGACAGUGGAUUAGUGUACUAGCUUGUGAUUUUACUAACUACUUAUCACAGUUAUUUUAUUUUUGUGAUUUUUCGUGUUAUGAAUCUAAAUUUAACAGAGAUUAUAUUUAUCAAAAAUGUACCAAUUUGGGUUUAUGACAGUCAAACAAAUUAGUUUUUGGUAAAUUUGUCACAAAUGUAUCAGUUUGAGUUUUUUGUAGUCACUUGGGAUAAAUUCAUUACAAAGGUACUAUAUUAGGGUUUUUCAUGGUCAAAAAGUUAGUUUUUGGUAAAUUUGUCAAAGGUGUAUCAGUUUAGAAUUUUUCAAGGUAUAACCCUAAAAAUUAAAAGAAAAUUUAAAAAUAUAAUAAAAAUAUAAUAUAAAUUAUAUUAAAAAUAUGAUAAAAUUCUACAAUAAAAUUGAAAAAUAUAUAAUAAAAUAAUUUAAAAAAUGUAAUAAUAUUAUAUAAUGAAAUUAUAACAUAAAAUUAUAUUUAAAAUAUAAUAAAAUUACUAAUAAAAUCAUAUUAUAAUAUGAUAAUAUUAUAUAAUAAAAUUAAAAAUUUAUAAAAAAAAUAAUUAAAAAACAAGAUUAAAUAAUAAAUUUAUUAAAAAUUUAAAAGAGGAAAAAUUAAAAAGUAUUAAAAAAUUAAAAGAAAUUCUAACUCACAAAAAAUUUAAGGUUCAUAACAAACACAUUUCUAUUUCAAGAAUAUGAAGUUUAAGUAGUUACCAAAUGUCUUCAAAUGCUCAGAAACUAAUCAAUAAAAUAAAAUAGAAAAGAAUAAUUUCUUAGUAGAAAUUGUUCAUGAGAACGGAAUGGUUACCAAACGCAACCUAAAUUUUCAUUAAGACCCAACUUGAUUGAAUUUUAAAUUUUUAAGUUCAUUUUCACCUUACCUUUUAAAUGUUUAAACAACCCAUGUACAACCUACUUGUAAUAAUAUGAGUCAAAAAAUGGGUCUAUGAUUCAUUCUGACACCUCUAAUUCCAAAGCACCUCGUUCUUAUUCAUCCAAAUAAAUCAUGGUGUGUCAAGAAGAUUCGGUUUGGAAAAAAAAAUAAAAAAGUGCAUAAAGUACAAUGCUUAGAGAAUGGCUUGAGUAAAUAUGAAAAAAUCUGCUUGAAUAGCAGCUACAAAUUAUCUCCGGUGAGGGGGGCUCCAUACCAACCCCUAUAUAAAGGAUAGUUGGCAUACUAAGUGACUCGCCACAGAAUUCGCAAUGGCUAUUCAGGCAUUGUCAACAAGCUUCCUCUCCUCCUCAAUUCACCAUAACUAGCCCUCUCUCUUAUUCUUUAGGCACCUCCGCUCCUCCUCCUCCACCGCCUCCAAUGCUCAAUUCGUGACAUGUGCUUUGAAGAUUGAAGUUCAAGAGAUCGGGAGACAUUCGGCGAAUUGGCAACCUAGCGUUUGGGACUAUGACUUCUUGCAGUCACUCAACGUUAAUUACACGGUAACAAAUUUUCUUUUGUUUUUUUUUUCAGCACAAAACCCAGCCUAGCUUAAGUACUAUGGGAAAUAUUCACAUUUGUUCCUCGAACUUGGAAAAAUUUCCCAACAAUUUUUCAGGUCUAUGGUUCUGACAAUUUCGGUAACAAUUUAUUCCAUGAUGGCACUGAUUAUUUGAGUAUUAUACUUUUGUUUGGCAUCGAUUAAUACCUCGGCUUCACUUAGCCGUGCUCAAAUUUAAGUUACCAUGCCAACGACAGAAAAGAAAUAUAAAAAAAUAAGUUUAGUGACCGAGGUGCACUGUUUCCCUAUUUUCUACUUACUUUGGUGGGAUGAGUCCAUAAAUCCCAAAACGACAUGGAAACAAAGGACAAACUUUACUUUAAAUCCGGUUUAUGGAUGUAUACAUCUUGUGUACUUCUGUAUACGAUUUAUAUAUGACAUUCGAGAUAUGUAAAAUCAAUUUGUACCUUCAUCCAUUACCAAAGUAUCAAAUGUACGGCCAACCGCAACAAUAUUCUAUAGGAGAUAUCGAUAAACCUAGUCAAAACGGCAUAUUCUCAACAAAAAGGCAAGAGCUCAACAGUGCUUGUGCAUCAACUUUGAUUAAGAUCUCAUUUUUCAGAGUUUUUCAUGUGCUAGGAGGAUAAAUGUUCAAGUCCAAAGGUUGAAGAAAGAAGUCAAGGGUCUAUUCGACGGGGAGAUGAAUCAGGUGGCCAAGCUCAAGUUCAUUGACAUAGUUCAAAGACUAGGACUAAGAUACCAAUUUGAGACGGAGAUCAAGAAUGCUCUAAGUUCCAUCUAUAACAACACCUAAGAUGCUCAAUUUUUGGACAAUCUUGAUGUAGUUUCCCUUCGAUUCCGGCUACUCAGACAACAUGGAUACAACAUACCGCAAGGUACUCGUAUAGUUUCGACAUCUUAGAGCUCACAGAGCCACCCUAAAAUACUAAGACACAUAAGAUCAUAGGGUCUCUCCACAAGCAAGACCGUUGGUCAAUAAUGCAUGCCUAAUCGAGGGGCACUGGUUCGUAUAUAGCCGACGCAAGAUAGUCCUUGGUAUCAUUACUGGGUUGGCCGAAUCCGUCUCCACGUCCGUAAAAAGUAUGACAAAUUUGUGCCAUGUUUAAACAGGCACCAAGAAAAGGCCUAAUCCGGGAAUUCGGUAGUCUUCAAACACGGCUCUAUUCAUCCACUUCCAGGCCUCACGCACCAUAUGCAUUAUGUGUUCACGCAAAACCUUUUCCGACGCGCCGGUUUCAUUUAUGUAGCAUUCCAAUGCCUUCAAGUUGUCUCCUCGUGCCAAUUCAUGCUAAGCAUGGACAAUUAUUGUUGAGUUAUAACCAUAAAUCCAAAUACUCUCCUCACUUUCGCAUCGAAGAAAUAAAAAAGAAGAUGUACUCUUUUUUUCUUAUGAGCCACUAUUUGCAAGGAGAAGAACAAUAAAAGUAAGUUACCGAUGAUGUACUGAAAUCAUUGAUGAGUCGAGUCAUCUUGCAUGAACAACGCAUGAUGCUCGGGAUUUUUGACACGUAAUCAAGUCCCUCUUCCGUCAAUAAAUCCGUGGUUAGGAAGUAACUGGGCAACAACAAAACCACCCCUCCAGAUGAAUUCCUCGCAAUGUCAAUGUAUUCCUUCAGGGUCGGUUUAAUGCCCUUGCUGCGCCAAUGGACCUCCUCCAGGUACGCCUUGCAUUGAUCGGCCCACUAUAGGAUUAAAAUUCAGAAAUGAUUUCAUGCAAGAUGACUCGACUCAUCAAUGAUUUCAGUACAUCAAUUCCCUCUUCCGUCAAUAUAUCCGUGGUUAGGAAGUAACUAGGCAACAACAAAACCACCCCUCCAGAUGAAUUGCUCCCAACGUCAAUGUAUUCCUUCAGGGUCGGUUUAAUUCCCUUGCUGCGCCAAUGGACCUCCUCCAGGUACGCCUUGCAUUGAUCGGCCCACUAUAGGAUUAAAAUUCGGAAAAGUGUGUCAAUGACCAAGUCAAGGGACGUUCUUUUCUCAUACUUUUUCGGACUCUCAAACGUUCCAAGAGAAGUCAUAACGAAAGUUAGAAGUUGAAAAAUGAAUCGACUAACAUGGACUAGAAAUUAUCAGGUGAAAGAUUUACCAAGUCAAAAUUACCACUUUCCGCAGGUAAGGGAUGGGGUUGAUUCCUCGCUCUCUCAUCAUCCAAUACCCAAUUUCGUUGGUCUUGUUGUACAUGGCCAUGAAACUAUCCCUUAUUAUUGGAGGAAGCCUAUCGAUGUCUGUGAUGUCCCACUUUGAUACGUUAUCACAAUUUCAGCAAUUUUAUGAAAUUUACCACCAUUCAAUACACUUCUUAGUAACAAUAACGAAGAUUAAUGUCAACCAUUACUUUAUUAGCCCAAACCACGAACAUAAACCAUGAUAUGUCUAAAAUGCAUUGAAUAAUUUAUUUCAUAAUAUAUAAUUUUUAGUAUUUUUUCCAUCGCAUUCAUAGACUAAUUAAUUAUGUUAUUUUCUUGGUAGUCAUAGUUACAAGGGAAAAUUAUGAUAGUGGUGAUACUAGACAAACCUGACAAUGAAAUCUAUUAUGAGAUCAAGUUCUUCUGGCGUCCCAUAUAUAUCAUAAACAUCAUCAAUAAGUACCGCCAUACUAGCAAGCUUCCCAUUCAUUUCUUUGAAAGCUGUAUGUUGAGGUUCAAAAACCGUACUCUUACUCCAAAAAUAGCUUUCCACUAUCCUGUCCCUACAUAAGGUCAUCUUGUUCACCCCAAGUUCAACCCACCACUUGAAAAAUUUUCAUAUGAUGAUUAAGUCAAUCAAAAUGCUCUCCCAUGCUGCCAGAUUGAUUGUGUACCUUGCCAGACUGCUAACUUCAUUCCUGUAGACUAACUGCACUAAAUUGUGUUAGAGAAAACUUCCUUAUUAUUUUGAAGUUGACAACACGUUUCCAUCAGUGUAAUCUGAAGACUUACAGACUCUAUUGUCAAAGUCUGAAGACCUCCAGAUUUAAGAUUUAAAGUCUACCCUCACUGAUAGUUUCCAGACCGACGAAGAGAAGAUUUUUUCAGAUGCGAGUUUAUCUUUAACGAUUUAGUUUGUACAGUUGAAGAAGAUCUUACGGCUGGAGAUAGCAUCUUGUGAUCAAUUAUUCUUGUUGAAAUCAAUUCGGAUAAUUAGAUCUAUUGAUUGGCGAAGUAUACUUGGAAGGUUCUACUUAUGGAAACCUAUAUCUUGAUUGUAUGGGCGAGCAGGAUUGGUGGGCUAUCAUCACAUUGCUUAAAUAACUCAAGAUCUCCUUGAUUGAUUCUGUCCAACGGGUAGAUUAGAAAAACUCAUUUGGAAAGUGCCAACGGUUGUGAAGGCAUGAAGGAGUAUAUAAGGAAGACGCUCAAGUUAUUCGUGAGUGUGCAUGGAAGAAAAAUUCCAAAGUCUGAAGCUCCUAGUUCUUUGCUAUUUCAAUCGUUGAACUUAAGUUGUACUCAAAAGAGAGAUCAAACACUUGUAAGACCUUGAGGAAGUGUAGUAGAGCUUCUACACUAUGGAAUCAAGGACGUGAGACUGUAAAUCUCUUUUGAUUCUUAGUGAAAUCCAACUAGUAGGCUGUUAGUGCGGGAGAGUGGACGUAGGCUUGGUCUAAGCCGAACCACUAUAAACCUUGUGUUUCAAUUUUCUUUCCUUGAACUUUUUACUUUAAUUCGUAACUUUAUAUAAUUGUUUAUAGUCUUCUACAUCUUCAGUCUAUUAUUCUCAAAAGUCGAGUUAAUCUUUUAAAGUCUUGCAAAACUUCUUUGAAUACCUAUUCACCCCCUCUAGGUGUCUUUUCUUGCCCUAUCAAUUGGUAUCAAAGCCUGUGUGCUCAUUCAAUUGAAGUGUUUGUACUUUUGAGUUAAAGAUCUAUGGCUAGUAUGUUGGCUCUAGGUUUGGUUGAAGGCCAGAGCAACAUCAGAUCUCCUUACUUUGAUAGAAAGGAAUACAACAUAUGGAAAAACAAGAUGAAAGCAUUCCUAAGAUCGAAAGAUCCUCUAGAAUUGGAUGUCGUAGAAAAAUGAAUCAUUCCUAAAGUUGCAUCAGUUUCAGAAAGAGGAAAAGAAGUUGCAGACGCUAGCAAGAUGACACAAAAAGGAAUAGCCAAGAGACAAGCUCUUGAUACAAAAGCAAUUUACUCUUUAUAUUGUGUUUUAUCUCCUACUGAAUAUAAUAGAAUUUCUUCUUGUGAAAUAGCCAAAGAAGUCUGGGAUAGGCUGCAUAUUACCUAUGAAGGAAUUGAUCGAGUAAAAGAAACAAAUAUCAAUAUUCUACUCGGACAGUAUGAAGCCUUCAAGAUGAAGCAAGGAGAAUCUAUCAUUAACAUAUUUAGUCGUUUUACAAAGAUUGUAAACGGUCUAGCAUAUCAGGGACAAUCAAUUUUAGGACCAAUGAAGGUUAACAAAUUGUUACGUGGACUCUCCAAAGACUAAAAUCAUGUAAAGACUUCAAUAAGGGAAACUCAAAAUAUCAUGCCGCUUUUUGUAGACGAGCUGGUUGGCACACUUCAGUCUUAUGAAGUGGAGCAAAUCAAUGAGGAAGAAGAUCCCAAAGGUAAGAAGUCAAUUGCUUUAAAAUCUAAUGAUGAUUCUGAUGAUAUAGACUCUAAAGAUGAUAUGGAUGAUGAAGAGCUAACACUUAUGAUAAAGAGGUUUAAGAAACUGAACAAAAAUGGAAGAAGAUUCAAUUGGAAGAAGCAAAUUAUUCAAAAGUUUCAAAACAAAUCAACUAAGGAUGAUGAAGCCAACAAAGAUGUGAUUUGUUUUGAAUGUAAGAAAAAUGGACACAUCAGACCCAAUUGUCCUCUGUUGAAAAAAAAAAGAAAAGAAGGGAAGAGUUAAAGAAAUACAAAAAAUGCACUUAAAGUUGAGAUAUAGAGUGAUACUGAAUGCGAAGAAAGUGAUGAAGAUUAUACCAAUAUUUGUCUAAUGGCAAAAUCAUAAUUAGACUCAAACUCUGAGAUAGAUUCAGACUCAGAAUUAAACUCAGAUAGCAAAAUCGAAGUAAGCAAUUUAAAAAUUCCUACUAAAGUUUCGAAAUAGAUUGAUGAACUAUGUGUUAGUCUCAAAAUCUUUUUUAAAAGGAUUUCCAAGCUAAAAAGGGAAAAUUCUACACUUAAGCAACAUGAAAGUUCUUGGAAAGAAAAUUUUGAAAAUUUAGAUAAAAGUUUUGUUGUUUUAAAAGAAAACGUAGACUCUCUUUCAAAAGAAAAUACAUUUUUAAAGAUGGACAUUUCAAAUAUCUCAAAAAGGUUUUUAAUAGGAUUUGAAAAGUUGGAAAAGAUUCUUUCAGUACAAAGACCUUAUUUCAACAAAUCAGGCUUGGGAAUGACUUCAGAAACUAUUUCUCUAAUUGAUUUUCCAAAAGGAAAGGAAAGAAUCAAAUAAAGACCUAUAAAAACUUUUUAUAGAAACCAUUUUCAAAAAAAUUUUGUAAAACCCGUUGGCUGAAGUGCUCUCAAAUAUUCUAAAUGCAACAGCUCUGAACAUUUUGAAAAAGAAUGUCCUAUGGUUUGGAGACAUGUUAAGAAAGAAUGGGCAAAGACUAUAUAUUGCGCUAACUCUCUUAGACCCAAGAAAAUGUGGGUACCAAAGAAAGCUUGAAUUCAUUUUUUAAUUGCAGGUCACUAUCAAGAAAAAAUGUUAAAUGGCAUUUGGAUAGUGGCUGUUCGUGACACAUGAUUGGAGAUUCAAGCUAUUUUAUAAAACUUGUGCAAAUAAAUGGUGGAAAAGUCUCUUUUGGUGGAAACGACAAAUGAAGAAUUGUUGGAUGUGGAACUGUAAAGAUUGAAAAUCUCACAAUCAACAAUGUCUCCUCGGUGGAAGGACUAAAUUACAAUCUACUUAGCAUUAGCCAAUUGUGUGACACUGGAUUCAAGAUCAAUUUCCAAGAAUGAAUAUGUUCGGGAACUAGUAAAGAUCUUUCUCAAUCUUUUACUGGAAGAAGACAUGGGAACAUUUAUUUUCUGUAUAUAAACCGGAAAGAUCUCAAUAUCUAAUAUCAAUUCAAGAUUAAGCGAGUCUAUGGCAUCGAAAGCUUGGCCAUGUCAACAUGAAGCAAAUUGCCAAGAUAUCAUCCAAAAAACUUGUUCGUGGACUACCCAACCUAAAAUAUAAAAAAUCUGACUUAUGCACACCAUGUGUGUUGGGAAAGUGGGUUAGAUGUUCUUUUAAACCAAUAUCUCAGGUUUCUACUAAUUGUAUUUUGCAACUUCUGUAUAAGGAUCUCUUUGAACCAGCAAGAACUCAAAGCAUUGGUGGAAAAAUAUAUUGCCUAGUAAUUGUGGAUGAUUAUUCUCGAUUUACUUGGGUUUACUUUCUGGCAAGUAAGUCUGAAACAUUUUUUCAUUUUUCAAAGUUUGCCAAGAUAGUUCUGAAUGAGAAAGGAUAUGCUAUUUCAAGCAUACGGACAGAUCGUGGAUGUGAGUUUGAAAAUUAAGACUUUUCCAAAUUCUGUGAUGAAUCUAGUUUUCAGCAAGUUUUCUCUUCUCCAUGCACUCCAGAACAGAAUGGAGUUGUGGAAAGAAAUAAUAAAUCUUUGCAAGAAAUGGCAAUAACUCUUUAAUUGAAAGUAAUAUUUAUUCUUGUUUUUGGGCUGAAGUAGUUUUUACAGCUUGUUAUAUUAUUAACAGAGUAUUCUUAAGGUCUAUUAUGGAGAAAACUCCCUAUGAGUUCUUCAAAUGAAAUAAGCCAAUUGUUUCUUAUUUUCAUGUGUUUAAUUGCAAAUGUUUUAUCUUGAAAAAUGCAAAUGAUCGAACUGGUAAGUUUAAAGAGAAAUUAGACGAAAGAAUUUUCCUUGGCUACUCAAAUUCAAGCAAAGACUACAGAGUAUUCAACAAGAAAACUCGGUUUGUGGAAGAAUCUAUGAAUGUCAAAUUCCAAGACUUCUUGCAAAAUCAAUUGAUUCAGACUCAAUCUAAAGAAUCUGAACCUGCUUCAGACUUUACAAAGCCUACCUCCCUUGAAGUGGCUCAGACUUCUGAAGAACAACAACAAAAAGAAGUUGAAGAAUCAAUUGAAGUAGAAGAUCAUCAAACUAUUAGACCGACUAAUAACUAGAAGCACAAGUCUAGUCAUCCCAAAGAACUUAUCAUCGGUGACAUUGAUGAAGGGAUUCACACCAGAUCCAAGAAACAAGAAAAGUCUAGCGUUGUGGCACUUAUUUCCAAAAUAGAAACCAAAAGAAUAGAAGAAGCUUUGGUUGACGAAAGCUGGAUUGAAGUUAUGUAAGAAGAACUCAGAUAGUUCAGCAUUAACGAUGUCUGGGAACUAACUCCUAAACUAAAAGGUAAAUCAAUUAUUGGAGCUAAAUGGGUUUUCAGGAACAAGAUGGACGAAAAAGGAAAGGUGGUUAGAAACAAAGCAAGACUCAUGGCCAAUGGAUAUAUGCAAGAAGAAGGGAUAGACUAUGAUGAGACCUACACACCGGUAGUAAGGUUAGAAGCAAUUAGAUUAUUGCUUGUUUUUGUAUGUUAUAAAAAUUUCAGGUUGUUCCAAAUAGACGUCAAAAGUGCAUUCCUAAAUGGACUUAUCCAAAAAGAAGUCUAUGUGGAACAACCUCCCGGAUUUGAAGACCCAAGUAGACUAGACUUAGUAUUCAGACUGAAAAAUGCUCUAUAUAGAUUAAAGCAAGCACCUCAAACAUGGUACGACAGGUUAAGUAAGUUUUUACUUCAAAAUAGUUUUGUUAAAGGAAAAGUGGAUACUACCUUGUUUAUUAAAAGAGAAGGUAAAAACAUUUUACUUAUUCAAAUCUAUGUUGAUUAUAUCAUAUUUGGAUCACCUAAUGAAAACCUGUGCAAGAAGUUUUCUAAAUCUAUGUAGGAUGAAUUUGAGAUGAGCAUGAUUGGUGAACUAUCUUUCUUUCUCGAAUUACAAGUGAAACAAUUGAAGGAAUGAAUUUUCAUUCAAAAAAAAUGUGCAAAAGAUCUCGUUAAAAAAUUCUGAUUGGAGAAUUGUGAGAAAACUGAGAUACCAAUGUCAAGUUCUUCGAAGCUGGACAAAGAUGAAGGAGGAAAGAAAGUUAACCGGAAGCUUUACAAGAGUAUUAUUGGUUCACUUCUUUAUCUUACUGCUUCUAAACCUGACAUUUUGUUUAAUGUUUACUUUUAUGCUAGAUUUCAAUCAAAUCCCAAAGAAUCUCAUCUAAGUACUGCAAAACAUAUCAUCAAAUACAUUGCAACUACUUCAAAGUUAGGCUUGUGGUAUCCCAAAGAAGGAGAUUUUACUUUUCUUGGAUAUUUAGACGCAGAUUUAGCAAGUUGCAGAGUUGAUAGAAAGAGUACUUCUGGUACUUGUCAAUUGCUGAGAAAUAGGACAAUAUCUUGGUUCUCAAUGAAGCAAAGUACUAUAGCUCUUUCAACAAUAGAAGCAGAGUAUGUGGCUCUUGGAAGUUGCUGUUCUGAAAUCUUAUGGAUAAAACAACAACUGAGAGACUUUGGAAUCGAAGACUCAUGCAUUGAGAUCAAAUGUGACAACACCAGCGCAAUUAAUCUCACAAAGAAUCCAAUUCUUCAUUCAAGGGAAAAGCACAUAGAGAUUCGACAUCAUUUUAUUAGAGAUCAUGUUCAAAAUGAAGAAGUUAUGAUUCAGUUCAUUGAUUCAAAGAAUCAACUGACAGACAUAUUUACAAAGCCACUAGAGAAAAACCUAUUUGAGUCUACUCGCUCCAGACUGAACAUCACAUCUUUUAUCCAGUAAAAUCUAAAGGUUAUCAAACUCAAAGGUAAAGUCUGAAAGUGUUCAGACUUAGAAGACCAAAAGUUACGAUUGUAAGUUAUUUUGAUACUAACUAUUUUAAUUUCUGGUUAAAGACUUGAAAAUGUGCAGUUACUUUUUAAUUGCUAAUUGAUUGAAAUUAUCUUUCCGAGUACUUGAACUUAUAGCAUUUAUUCAUUUUCAAAAAGGCAGUUAAUCAUUUUCGAAAAGGCAUUUCUAUGGCGAUUUGUUUACCUUGCUUCACUUGCUUUAUAUGCUAUUGAAUUUCGUCUUCUCUAUUUUCACUCUCAAACCCUAAAAUACUAAACUCCCAUUUGCUUUCCCUUUCACUCUCGAUUAACCCAAAAAGUCUUCACCUUUUUGAGCAAGUUUAAGAAUUUCCCCCUUGAAGUGAUAAUGUCUUCAAGAAAGUUUUCGAGAAUCGCAAGCAGGGGACCAUGACACAUGCCUAAGGGUCCUACUCACUUCGACUUGACCGAGGAAGAAGAUUCUUCUCAUCAGCAACAACCAAGUGAGCAACAACAUUCUCAACAGCAUCAAUCUUCUCCACCACCUCAACUAGAAGAAGAAAUAAUUGAAGAAAUUGAACCUGUAAGAAUGUUGAGCUAAUGUUGCUUUCUCACUUUAUUCUAAGUUGAAAGAAGGAGGUACUGCGGUGUCCUUGAUUGACGAGUUUCUUAGAGAAAGAGGAUUAAAAAAUGAAACCUUAUUUUUGCGAGAGAUGGAAAAGUUAAGAGUUACAGAAAAAUGAACGGUUGAAAAGACUUUUGCAAAUUUUCCAAGUGACCCGCGAUUUGAUACUGCUAAUCAACCACAAGGACAGGAUGAAGAUGAAUGAAUGUUUGCACAUUUUCAAUCAAGGAUGUGAGUGGCUAUUAAUGUUGUUGGUGAUGGAGCGAGCAUUUUCCGCUCUAAGGAGCACAAGAAAGUUUACUUGAAUUUGCUAAAAAGAGAAGUGAUGAACCCUAGGAGUGUUGACUUUGAUUUUCUCGAUUCAGUAAAAGUAAAUCUGUGAGAAAAGUUUGCACUUCUUCAAUUGGAGCGUUUUUGUUUUGAAUCUACAAUUGCUUAUUCGGAACUCACAGCAUACUUCUAUUCAAAUUUAUCCUUUUUGGAUACAAAUAGUUUCUCUUUCACAGUAAGGGAUAAGGAAUUUUUGGUGGAUAUGGACACUUAGGCUGACCUAAUUGGGGGUGGAAAGAGGGUGUUUCCAACCAAUUAGUGUGUCUUUUGCUCAUGCUACUUUGGAAUUGGUACAAGACGAGGAUAUUGAUCGCAAGAUCUCCUACUCUAAGAUGAAUGCCUUAAAUAUCUUGCUGCACAAAAUUGUGAUUAAUUGCAUCCAUCCAAAAUCUACAUCAAAGACUGAUGUUUCUCGUUCUGAAGCAAAGCUGAUGUAUGCCAUCAAUGCUGGCUACAAAUUCUCUCUACCUCACACCCUCCCGUUUCAUAUAUAUAGGAUAGUGGUGAAAGACAAGAGACAACUCCCUUAUUCUGCUUUUAUCACGCGCCUCUUUAGACAUUUUAAAAUCCACAUUCCUGUACCUUUAUGUAUGGCAAACAUUACUCCAAUGGUGACUGGAUUUAAAAUGGUCACCAAGAUGCAUCUAAAAGAGCUUAAAAGGGUGUUGGAGUGCAUGAAGAAAAAGUCUCCCGUCAAAACGAAACAAGACUCUAUAGCAGUCAAAAGGAAAGGCAAGGAGCCUAUGGAUGCUCCAGUGAAGAGAAAGAGAACUCUCUUCUUGUAGUAUGAAGAGGAUGAGGAUGAGAUGACUCUUUCAGCCUUAAGAGAUUUGAAGAGUUUUGUCAGUUUUCAAGGGCCAAGAGAAUAGCCAAAAGCAAGAGAGGAGACAUAGAAGGAAGAUGAAGAACAGAGAAGGACCGAAUAAGAAGAAGAAAUAAGAGAAGAGGAAGAAGAGACUCAAGAUAAUUCUUUUGAGCCAACUUUGGCUAUAUCCUUAUCGAGUUACUCUGAGAGGAUAGGAAAUGGAACUGCCGAAGAGCAUGACAAAGAAAAACAUCAAUCUGAAGCUGAAGUUGAACAAGAAGAAGAAUUCACUACUCCACCAGAAGGCAAAUAAAUAAGGAGAGCUGUCGAAAAAUGAGGUAUCUCUCCACCUAUAUUUACUAGUGAUGUGAGUCGUUCUGCAGCAAACCCAAAAGAUGUGUAUGCCUCUCACUAUCCAAAAGUAUCCACUCCUAGUCAUGGUGGACAAAUUGCUAAAGAUCCAUCCAUUCUCAAAAGUCCUGGAUUAGACUCGGUUGGACAUAAUGCUGCACCAGAACAAACAGCAGACUUUUCAAGACUGCUUGAUAUCAUGUUAGAUUUAAGGAGACAACAAUAUGGUUUGGAGUAUGAUAUGAAGGAUCUCAAGAAAGCUUUCAUGGCCACUUCAGUGUCAUUGCAAGAAUGGCUACUCGCCCUAAAGACUCAAGUUCAGACUAAUGUGAAGGAUGAAGAUUUACAACCGCUGAAGGAGACUAUAUCAAAUCUUGAGAAGACAGUGAAUUUUAUGGGAGAAUUCCAGCUUGCUCGCUUGCCCAAACAUCCUUGACUCUCACUCUACUAUUUUCAAACAACUCUUGUUAUUUGUUUUCCACUUUUUGCUGUUGACAAAAAAGGGAGAAGUUUGACGCAGAUUUGACUUUGGUUUGGAUUAUUUUACCUUUGAAAUUAUCUUUUGUUUGGUUGUGGAUUGGACAGACUUUUUGACUUUGGACUGGUUGAUUUGACCUUUUGAUGCUUACAAUAACUUAAGUCGCGAUAAUGAUUAUGGAAUGAUAGUUAUUUUACAGGACUAGCAUGUUUUCUAUGGUUGCAAAAUCUUUACUAUGCAUGUCCUAAUCUACUUAUCUUUUAUGAGAUAUCUUGUUUUGCUUAAGUAUUGUUUUGCAUGACAAAAGUGUUCAAAUCUACGGGAAAAUUUUGUCACCAUAAAAAAUGGAGAGAUUGUUGGAGAAAACUUUCUUAUUAUUUUGAAGUUGACAAAACGUUUCAAUUAGUAUAAGUCUGAAGACUUGCAGACUCUAUUGUCAAAGUUUGAAGACCUCUAGACUCAAAAUUUAAAAAUCUACUAUCACUGAUAGUUUCCAGAUCGACGAAGAGAAGAUUUAUUCAGAUGUGAGUUUAUCUUUAAGGAUUUGGUUCGUACGGUUGAAGAAUAUCUUACGGCUGGAGAUAUCAUCUUGUGAUCAAUUAUUCUUGUUGAAAUCAAUUUGGAUAAUUAGAUCUGUUGAUUGGCAAAGUAUACUUGGAAAGUUCUACUUAUGGAAACCUAGAUCCUGAUUGUAUGGGCGAGUAGGAUUGGUGGGCUAUCAUCACAUUUCUUAAAUAACUCGAGAUCUCUUUGAUUGAUUCUAUCCAACGGGUAGAGUGGAAUAACUUCUUUGAAAAAUGCCAACGGUUAUGAAGGCAUGAAGGAGUAUAUAAGGAAGACGCUUAAGUUAUUCGUGAGUGUGCGUGAAGGAAAAAUUCCAAAGUCUGAAACUCCUAGUUCUUUGCUAUUUCAAUUGCUGAACUUAAGUUGUACUCAAAAGAGAGAUCAAACACUUGUGAGACCUUGAAGAAGUGUAGUAGAGCUUCUACACUGUGGAAUCUAAGACGUGAGACUGUAAACUUUCUUUUGAUUCUUAUUGAGAUCUAGUCAAUAAACUGUCAGUGCGGGAGAGUUGACGUAGGCUUGGUCUAAGCCAAACCACUAUAAACCUUGUGUUUCAAUUUUCUUUCCUUGAACUCUUUGCUUUAAUUCAUAACUUUAUAUAACUGUUUAUAGUCUUCUACAUCUUCAGUCUAUUAUUCUCAAAAGUCAAGUUAAUCUAUUAAAGUCUUGCAAAACUUUUUAGAACAUCUAUUCACCCCCCUCUAGGUGUCCUUUCUAGCCUUAUCAAAUUGAAGUCUAAUUUAGCCAAUUGUAGCAAAGAGGGGAUCAUGUCUUGCUGUUUCUUGUACAUGUCAAUGAACCACUGAGCCUCCAACUUGUUUAGCCUCCAGUGGAUUGGCAUAUCUAAUGCAUGACUCACAUGACUCGCUAAAUUAGUGGGAAUUUCAUUGAGGUUUAGAUCCCUCAAAUGCUUAGAAGCAAAGGUCCAAGCUUCAUCGAGUAUGGUUUCACCUUCCAAUCCAUGAAAAGAAGCUUCAUAAAGACCAAGAAGCCCCUUCACAUCUUCAUUGAGUGAUUCAUUGAAUGUGCCCAUCUUGCUCAUAAAUCUUUGAAAUACAUCUAUAUGUCCAACAAAAGGAAUGGAAUGGUAAAUUUUGAUGCAUUGACAUAAUUUACAAAAAUUUUAUAGUACACAAAGUCUAUUGUUGGGCUUCAGCAGAGAAGCACAUGCUAUUCCGUGCUUUGUGUGGUGGCUGAUUAUGUAUCACAAACAAUAAAUAUAUUCGUGAUGAUCGAAUUUUAUUCUAUGUUGAAUAUUUAGCUUUUUGUAUUGGAGAAAAAUUGAAAAGAAAAUGAUUAUAUAGAAGAAAAUGAAAAAUCGUUUGACUUCGACCAACGCUGGUUCAAUGGAAUUUGAAACGGUGGCUGCGCAGAAAGUUUUUAUUUCUACCAUCGAGUUUCAUUGAAACGGCGUCCCAAAGAUUCUCCAACGUCCAGAACAGUGCGAGGCUAUUUUGGAAGGUUGAAAUGUCGAUGAAUUAGAUUGGACCGAGUAUUUUCUUCUUCUCUAACGAUUAUACUAUCUUUCCAUAUCGUUCUUUGCGUUUGAAUUCAGAAAAAUGAACACUUUGGAGUGCAUCAUUGUACGGAUAAAAAAAGAAGUACGUUAUUGCAUUCUUAUGGAAGACAUCAUAUCUUGUAGAAAGUUUCCUGAAAAGUGUCUUAACUCAUUACAUCUUUUGUCUUUAAUUUUGUUUUUGGUUUAAUUGUCCAAAAAAUCCUAAAUUUAUUGUACGGUGGUCAAUUCAAUCAUAAGUUUUUCAAUUGUAUCAAUUCAGUUAUAAAUAUUUCAAUUGUGUCAGCUUAGUCAAACAUUUUGAAGAUUUAUCAAUUUAAUUCUAAAACUAUUAUUUGGAUAUUUAAUCAAAAUGUCUACAUUUUCAAACUGUCAAAAGGUUUAGGACAUGAAUAUUAUGAUGGGAAUAGGACAUGGAUAUUAUGAUGUGAAUGUUAUAUAUCUAAUCUCUAUAGCUUAGUUGAAAUAUUGUCAAAAGGUUUUAAAAAAAUCCAAAUAAAGGCCCUAAAUGUCAUUGAUUUUUCAAAUAAAGGUUUGAAGUGAACCUUACCUUAAAUAAAGACAUAAAGUGUCCUCAUUUUAUUAAAUAAGGGCCUAAAAUGGACAUUAUUUCAAAUAAUGACUUAAAGUGGCCAUGGCAAUAUCAAAGAAUGACUUUAAACUUUUCGGCCGAUCAAGGGCAUUUCUGUCCUUUGCUUUUUCUUUUUCUUUUCCUUUUCUCUUUAUGUUCAUAAAAAGACAAACUAAAAAAAGGGCUAAAACUUAAAAAAAAAAAUUAGUUAACAUUACCAAAUAGAUUUCUGUUAUAUUUAAAAAAAAUAGAAAACAAAAAUAUUGGAACGUUAAUAAAUAGGUCCUUAGUUACGUUAUUCGCACAAUUCAAUAUCUUUUAGAUCAUUGUAAACGGUUCACAAUAAACUAUAUUCCUAUCGAAUGGUCAUCACAUGAGUAUUUCAUUGAAAAAAUUGUCAAAUCGCAAUUAGAACUUUAUCAUCCGUGAAGGUUUUUUCUUAAUUUUGUUUUCUUUUUUAAAAUUCCAAAGCUUUGAUUUUUUGAUGAAAUUUAAUUUUACUGAGAAAUUGAUACAAACGAAUUAAUAUACUGUGUGAAAAAGCUCGAAUCGAAAAAACAUCACUUGAGAGAAUCAAAUGAUUGACUCCACGCACACAUGACGUGGCCAUGACAUAGGAUUGAAUUAUGAUGAUAGAGUAUUAGGACAUCUUGGUUCCGAACAAAGACCAAAUGGAGUAGAGAUUCAUAUUUUAGCGUUCCCAUUGAUUCUUCUUUAGGUAUUGUCAAAGUUACGGAGAUCUCGAACACAUAUAGCAUCUUCGAAUUAAAGUUGUAGAGGAUCAUAAGCAAUAUAGCAACCUAUGCAAGCUCAUACAAUCAGACAUAUUUAUUGAUGAUUUGAUUGUUGAGGGACGUCAACAAGACUUGGACUCCGCCCAUUGGCUAAUAAGGAAUUUUGACAUUAACAUUAGAGGAACUAUUUAAUAUGCAUCCAAUGCAUGAACACUUGUGAGUCCUCCUAUCGUAGAGUGCCAAUUUGCACCUCCAACUUUGAAACACACGAUCGACAUCUUGCUGGCAUUUUGCGUCGACUCUUGUCGCUAUCCAUGGCUCAUCUAAAAAAGUGAAAAAAAUAAAAAAUAAAAUGAGGAUUGUCACGACCUGACUGCUCGCAAGGGAGAGAUCAUUAAGUUUAGAGGUAUUGUCAACCCAUUAAUUCAAGCUCUUCCAAGCUUAUAUCUCACGCAACAUCAGACAUUCAAAUCUUUAAUCACUCUAAGCCUAUGCAAAUUUUAACUAAUGAGUCACUACUAGCACUUUUUGAGGUUGGUUAGAAAUCAAAUAAGAUAUAGAGGGAUAUUUUACUAUUUACGCAAUCAGAGAUUCUAAACUUCAAGACUUGAUUAUGUUAGUCUCAAUACUAACACCAUUUUGAUGCCUAACUUGAUCAUAUGCUAACUAACACCACAAAUAGCCUAUCCAAAAGAAAUCUAAGGUUCGUCCUAACCAUUCUAGGGUAAGAAAGUAACACCCGAAAUAUUGAAAUGCACAAUCAAUUAUAAAUCAUAAAGAAAAUCACAUAAGUAUCAUAAUAUCGUCCCUAAAAAUAAAAAGAUAAUCCAAAACAAAGAACUCUAUUGUAAAACCCUACGGCUACAUUUGACAAUCAUGAUCAAAUUCAGAAUAUAAUAAAAUUUAUUAUUUUGCGUUUAGUGCUUGCUCAAAAUAAGAUAAAGUCAGAUAUAAAUAGGAUAUAGAUUGGAUAAAAUUAUAGAGGAUGUGAGAUAAAGACGGAUAAGAUUUUUAGUAUUCAUAACAAAAAAAAAAAAAUCUCAGAUAACAAAUUUCUUAAAUUAACAAAUUUAAAUUAUAUUCCAAUAUAUAAUGCAUAAUAAAAAAAUGAAAAUUAUUUUUAAUUUAUUCUUAUUUUUAUUCAUAUAUUUGGAUUUAAGUCUAUCUUAUAAUAUAAAUUCAAUAUAUAAAUAUAUAUUUAUUACAUAUUUUAGGUGUUUUAGUAUUUUAGAUAUAUCAGUACAAUUUUCUAUCUAAUAAAAUUUUAUUGAGAUGAAUGAAGGGGAAGAAAGAAAUAUAAAAUAAAUUAAUUAAAAAGAGAGGAAAAUAAAAUAAAUAAAAUAAAAUAAAAAUAAAGUAGACAAUAGUAUCGCGAGAGAUUUUUACCACUUUUGUUUGUAAAAUUUGUGAUUCAUAUAAGCGUUUAUACCAAACAAUAUAUAUAUAUAUAUAUAUAUAUAAUGUAAAUAUAUCCGAUUUUAUUAUUACAAUUACUAAAUAGUGGAUAGAAUAUAGUAUAAUCCCAUAGAUUUCAUAUUAUAUCCUAUUUAAUCCUAUCAUGUUUAAAAAUCCGAACAACUAAACGUAGCUAAAGGCUUAUCCAAUUCUAGGUUUUCAGUUUUUAAAGGUUUCUAAUAUUUCUGAAUGUUUCUGAUUUUUUUAGAAUUUUUUAAAAUUGUUAAUUGUUUUCUAAAUUUUCUGAUUUUUUAAUGAUUUUAUGAAAUUCUAAAUUUUUAUUAACUUUCGAAUUUUUCAAAUUUUUUAUUAUUUCCUAAAAUUUUCAAAAUUUUUAUCAUUUUCAGAAUUUUUGAUUUUUUAAGUAUUUUUUCGAAUUUUAUAAUUUUACUUAUUGAUUUAUUUAUUAUAUUCGGGGAACGGGUUGGGACCAGAUUCCCGAUCUGGCCAUUUGACCCGGUCAAAUUAAAAUCAAAAUUUUAAAAACAUUUAUAUAUAUAUAUAUAUAUAUAUAUAUAUAUAUAUAAUUUUUUUUGAGUUUUUAUUGAUUUUCCUAUUUUUUUAUUUCUUUUUCUCUUUUUGUUCUUUUCCUUAUUUUGUUAUUUCCACUGCACUUCUUCUCCUUCCUCUUGAUCUCUUCUUUCCCGAAGCCUUCCUUCCCUGCAACUUCAACUUCUUCACUUUUUAUUUUUCAAAACCAUACAACCAGACACCAUACCAUCCUCUACGGACACCUCCGCACCCCACCGGUCGUCUGUUCUGCCCGGCAUUGACCACUGCUGGCCCCCCGCUCCAUCUACCGCAAAACAUAACAAAAACCAUCCUACCGAAUGCACACUUUUCACGGCAGCAUCCCAAAAAAUCAUCAAGAAACAAUACAAUAGAAUUAAGCGAGAUGGGCUUAACUAGUUUGUCCAUGAAACACUGACUUCGCUGGGGCGAGGCGAUUCUCGGACGAAAAGCUUCUCAUCCUUGAAGACAUGCAAGCGCGUCAGAUUUGUGCAAAGAUUCUCAUCAAAUCGCAUAGAAACUCAGACACAAUGCUAGUAUUAGAUAUGAUUUAAGGGGAAAAAAAACAGCAAGUAUGAAUCGAUCUUGAAUUUAGACGCGACUAAACAUUCGGCCCUCUUUUAGGCAUUUUAUCAAACAAGCGAUGUGCAGAUCUUUCAAUGGCUUUCCAUUUUGAUUUUUAAAAAACAUUCUCGGCCUCACACGUCACGUACAGACUCAAAACACCAUGUUUACAACGAAACAAGUUCGUUUUAUGAAGAUCUCUUCAAGAAAAUCGAUCGAACCGAGCACAUCUUUCUCGGCCAAAGCAGAGACAAAGUAGAGCGUUUCUUUGGCGAUUCGAACUCUCGCUUGACGACGAUGAAGAGCGUCUGGUUAGAGCUUUUCCUCCGCUUGCAGUAGAAAUCUCAGUAUUCGUCUGAUCUGUGAAGAACGACUUAGGGAUCGGCCUUUGACCGGAGCUCUGGAAAACCGACGGCUAACCCCGGCGAUGCGGUUUUCUGCUACUCCGAAACGGGGACGCACUCUCUCUUCCUCUAAGAUUUCUCCUUUCUCCUUGGCUGUAUCCAGCGAGCUCGAGCAGUCCCUUCCUAUUUACCAAAAACCAACCGAAGCUCUCCCUGGUUCCUCGCACUUUGUUCGCGUUCUCUUCCUUUCCUGUCCUUCUUCUUCUUUGGCUGGCCCUCCCCCGCAAAACAGACUGCUCUCUGAUGUAUCUCUCUGUGGAAAAACUGUCCCCAGCCCCGUCUGCAAUGGCCGCGCCCCUCUUUCUUCUUCCUUUCGCUCAGCCGAAGAACUCUCACGCCAAACUUCUACUACUGCUCCGUCACCCCUUGCUCGAGCAAAUAGAUGUGUAUUCCUUGUACUUCCUUAACCUUUGAGAUGGGUUGGACUAAUGGAAGGAGGGGCUUAGAAGGUUGAAAAGUUUGCUUAGUGGCCGGCCCACACGAUUUCUUUUCAUAUUUUUUUUCGUUUUCUUUUUUAAGUGUUUUAUAUAUUUUUUUCAAAAUAAGUGGAUAUUUAAAAUGUUGAUAAAAAUUCGGGUGUCAACAAGGAUAUGUUCGUCAUUCUAUUUUUCUUAUUGGGAGAUAUAUAUUUUAAAAUAACACACGCCAUGUAUAUUAAGAAAAGUAAUUACAAAGUUAAUCAAAUAUAUGUGUAUUCCUUGUACUUCCUUAAUCUUGCGUUAGCUUUUUAAAAAGAGUUAUAAAAAUUUUCCAUUAAAUUUGUAUUGCAUAAUGGUGUUUUAGCAAUAUAUUCCGAGUUGGUGUGUGUGGAUUCAAGUAUUUUGUUUUUUGUUUUUUUUGGGAAUGAAUAAUUGUGGAGUUAUUCUUUACCAAAACAAAAAAGAAUAAUUGUGGAGUUAUUUAUUCACCAAAAAAAAAAAAAGUAAUUGUGGAGUUACGGUAGAGGUGUCAAAAUGGGUCAUGGACCCAUUUUUGAACUCAUAUUUUAUUUAUAUGGAUUGUAUAUGAAUUAGACCCAUCAAAUGGGUGGGUCAAAUCGGGUUUGGGUCAGGUCAAAAAUGGGUCGACCCAUAUUUAACAUAUUUAAUCCAUUUUGAUCCAUAUUCAUGUAGUGUAAAUCAAGUGACCCAUAGCCGACUCGACCCAUACCCAAUCCAUACCCAACUCGACCCGUAUUGCUAAAACCUAUUAAUAUUCUAGGAAAACUCACACCUACUAUAUGCUAGUUGGAUUAAAACUUCAAAUUAAAUUAAAAAUAGUAAAUAUAAUAAAAAAUAUUUAAAAAAAAAACCUAUAAAUCGAAAUAUUUAUAAAAAAUUAGACCAUGCGCAUGCUUCUUUUGUUUGAAGUAAACAUAUUAUCGAGUAACUAAAAACUGUAACAUUAAAAAUCUUUAACUAAUCCAUACCAAAAAAAAAAAAAUCUUUAACUAAACUUAAGAAAGCUCAUUUUUAUGAUUUUUUUAAUAAAAUAAAAGGUAUUGCUAAAACACUUUUACGCAAUGCAAAUUUAAUGAAAAAAAUCAAAUUUUUAGUUAUUUUUUAUUUUUUAAAAAUAUAUUUUGUUAUUUUUAUUAUUUACAAAUAUAAUUUUUUUAUUAUUUUUUAAAAAAUAUAAUUUUUAAUUAUUAUUUUUUCUUUUUCACUUUUCUUUUUUCUUCUUCUUUGGUCGGCAACGACGAUGCCCGGCGACCGACCACGAGCGAGCUCAAGUCUUGCCAGAUCCGGUGAGAUCGAGCCUAGCCGAUGACUGGCGAGGCUUGAUCUUGCCAAUUUGGCAAGGUCGAGGCCUUGCCCGACGCCGGCAAGCUUGAGUCUUACUAGAUCGGGGACUCAAGCUUGUUGGCAUCGAGUGGGGCUUGAUCUCACCAAUUUGGCGAGGCUGAGGCCUCACCAAAUGUUAGCAACCUUGAGUCUUGCUAGAUUCGACGAGGCUCGAGUCUCUCUAGUCGUCGGCGACCAAGAGCUUACAUGCCGGUGAACUUGAGCCUCACCUGGCCUGUCACUAGCCAUUGUCGUGCUGGCCAUCAAGUAAGGAAGGAGGAAAAAGAAAGAAAAAAAAAUUAAAAUAUGAAAAAUAAUUAUAAUUACGAUUUUUUAUUUUAAAAAUAUUUUUAUAAAGUUAAAAAAGGGAAAAAUAGUGUGGGGCUUGGGUUGUAAAUUUAGAAAUGGAUUUUAAGGUUUCAAUUCACUUGAUAUUUUAAAUAGGUUGAAAAUUGGUCACAAGUUCUUACCCAUUUAAAUCAGACUCACUUUUUUGACCCAUUUUUAGUUGGGUUAUUAAAAGCCUAUAACCCAUAUACAAUCCAUAUAAAUAAAAUAUGAGUCCAAAAAUGACCCAUUUUUACGCCUCUACCUCGCUAGCACUUCGCCCUGACAUUCUCUUUGCAGGCCUCAACCAAAACCGACCCAAAAACGGGUUCUAAGUCCCUGACAGCACACUUACUGCUCAGCUCCAUGCCUCCUCCCUCACUGCCUUGCUGGCAUCCGCCGCCUUCAUCUCCCAAAAACGGCUCCGCCAACGACAACUUGGAUGGUGAAUCUCCUUCCCCUUCAACGACGAGAAGGCCACUGCCAUCAAGAUCCUCCUCUCCAUGGCCGCCACCCCCUCCAAGUUCUACCAGUGGCGGCGGUGGCGGUCUGCCAGUGGGAACUCUAAUUAGUUUAUACUUAAAAAUUUUAAUUAAGGUAAAAAUUGCCUUUUUUAAUACAUUAAAGGGGGUUCACUUAAUUCAUUUAGUAGGAAAAAGUAAUCAAUGAUAAUUAAAAUUUUAUCUACCAAUCAUGAUUCUAUGUUUGGAAAGAAAUUAUAGAUAUAUAGUGACAGUCAAAAAACUAUUUCUUUCAUGUUUAACACUUGAAGAUUAUUAACACUUCAAAUGAGCUCUUCAAAUUCUUAACACCGAUUUCUCAAUAUAUGCAUACAAAUCAAUGCAUUCAUAUAGAUAGAAUAAGACUCUAAAAGUGUAGUCAACGUAAUUCAAAAUUAUUUUGAACCUGAGACGUAAUACAAUCAAGCGUUUAUUCAUGCAACUCUCUCCAAUUUAUUUAUUUUCUUGUCAUUUACACAUAAAACAAUAUAUACAUAUUGUUGAUUGGCUAAAGGCAAGGAAUGCAUAAAAACGUUAACGUAUGGGCUCUUUGUAAAUGCGUGAGCGUGGCCUAGCGUCACCCUUCGCAUAUCACAGGUUUCAACAAAAUUAAUUGAAAUUUAACAUGGUAAUUGUGGUCGCAAUUUCCUCGAUAUUGUAAAUUUGAAAUAACCCAUAUUUUUCUUUCGCCUCACUAGUAAAAAGUUCUACGUCCAUGCGGUAAUCAUGGAUCCGGUUUUUAUUAAUUCUUUUGUCAUUACGACUAAUGUAUGGUUUUUUUUUUUUUUGGACAUAUGCUAGCAUGACCUGGGUCAUCCAUUUUUGUAUAAUGGGCAAGUGGACAUAAAUUUGCUGUGGAAAACCAUUCUGUUUUGCAUGUUUGGCAAUAUUUGAAGAAACAAAUCUAAUGAUGUCCAAGAAAGAGAAAUUCAUGAGGAAUUGACUCCCUAUUUCAUAUGGUGGAUAUUAGUCCAAAAUCAAAAAAUUGAUAUCACUUAAGUCAAACGUUGAAAAUUUACAUAUUAUAAAUAAAAAUAUUCACAUUUCAUAAAGUUUUGCUCUUAUAACAUAAAAUCGGAAAUUCUUUGUCUACUAUCAUAACCAUUAUAUUAAAAAAGAAAAACAAAUUCAUUGUUGCACUUUGUUACAAUAAAAGUUUGUCAAACGCCUUCAUGAAAUGCUGGAAAGUUUUGAAAAUAUUGAAAUAUCAAAUACUGAAGGGUACAAAUGGUUUUUUUUUCCCUUUCUUUCUUUAAAUUUUACGACAUUAUCUCUUUGACUUUUAUUUAUUAUGAAACAUUUGGAAAUUUUCAAAAAUAUUCAAUACCAAAUACUGAAUUGUACAAUUGAUGAGUUUUUAGAACUUAGAGAAGGAGUCUAAGUAGUAAGUCUUUACUAUAAAUAGAAAAUUUUUAUCCCAAACGACUAUCUUAUUAUUAUUGUUGCUAUUGUUAUUAUUAGUAGCAGUAGUAUUUUACAUUUUCUUCGCAUUAUUUCUUAAGUCGCAUCUGAAAUGAAAGGACAAUGUUGCACGAUCUUUGGACACGUGGACCCACCUAUACAUGCUUGCAAAGUCCAAGCCACACAUGCAAAAUUGCCGAGACAUUCUACAUUCUUUGUGGAAAUCGGAAAGUUUUCAAAGAUCCUAUUUAGCAUAUGUAUUAAGGAUAUAUAAAAUGAGAUGUUCAUCGAUUACGAGGGUCACUCAAGGUAAUGCCGCGUUUUUUAAAUUUGAAAAUAAAAAUUAACUUGUUAGUUAGAUUGACUACAAUAAUUAAUUAGAGAUAGUUUCAAUUUUUAAUUAGCCAAUGAGUGAUUUAUCAAACACUUUACGUCGAAAUGCAAACUCGUUAGCAGAAUUCUCAAUUUUUUCAAAUGAAAUAUGUAAAUUGAUUUAUAAUUAUAUGGUAUGUAUAUUUUUUGUAAUAGUUAAAAUAAAUGAUCAAUUUUAAUGUGUUGCACAAACUCAUUACAUAAGACUCAGGCGUUGAGAGUGCCGAAUAAUAAUCAUAAUCUUCGAGUUUAUUUGAAAAAGCAAAUCAUCGCUUCCAAGUCUUGGUAAUUUGUAUACAGAACGUAUUAUCGUUGAAGAAUUCCUGUUACAUAGCCAAAUGUGAAAUCGAACUUUUAAUUUUAGUUUGAAAAUUGACAAAAAGAAAAAUGGCAUGACUUUAUUUUCCAAUUUGAUAAAGAUAUUUAAAAACAAAAUUAGUCUUAAAGAUCGCCUACCAACUAUAACACUAAAAAAUAAAAAUAAAGGUAAUGACUAUGCUCUAACAAACAAAAGGGGAAAAGACCACAAAAAACCCCAAAUUUUACUUAAAGUGACAAAUUUACCCCUAACUUUUUUUUUUGACGUGAAAAUUCCCGAACUUUACCGACCAUGACACGUUUAUCUCAAACUUUCUUUCGCGACACAAAAAACCCUGAACUUCUAUUCGUGUGAUAUAUUUACUCUAAACUAUAGGGCAUUUUGCUCUUUUUACUUUUUAAUUUUUUUUUAUUAUUCUUCUUCUCUCUUCCCUCUGCCAGCCAUGGCGAAGCCGACAGAAGGAAACCAGCGUCCAGCGAGGGUCGCCCUCGCCUGGGCUGGCUAGGGCCGCCCUCGCCGGCGUCAGGCGAGGGCGGCCCUUGGCUGGGAUGGGCGAGGUGCCCUCGCCAGAUCUGGGAGGGAGGCUCUCCCCCGACCCAGCUGAGGGCCACCCUAGUUCGACAUUGGCGAGGGUCGCCCUAGCCAACCUAGGUGAGGGUGACCCUCUCUUGAUGCCAGCGAGGGCAGCCCUUGUUGGACGCCUGCUUCCCUCUGUCGGCUAGGAAGAGAGAAGAAGAAAAAAAAAACAUGAAAAGUAAGUUGAAAAUGCCCUUGGUGGGGUAAAUGAGUCACCGUUUUGGGGUUUUUCAUGUCACAAAAAAAGUUUUGGAUAAAUUUAUCAUUUUGGGCAAAACUUGAGAUUUUUUGUGGUCUUUUCCCUUAUUAAUGUAAUGAAUAAACAAAAACAUCGAACCAGAAGUUUCUUACAUUCUCAUUCUUUAUAAGUAUUCUUCUAGAUUUAGGAAUUAAGGAAUUAAAAAAAAAAACCACGAAAUUUAGUUAACUAUAUCAAUAUGGGAUCUAACUCAAAAUUUGUAAUAGCUAAUAUAAAAUUAAAAUUUUUAAAAUGCUCAAACAUUAUUUAAUUUAAUAGCUAAGAUAAGAAAGGACUGCAGACAAGUAAAGUACAUAGGAGGGCUUGUCCAUUACAUCCGAUCAGACAAUUUGGUUCCGUCAUAUCCAGACUUCUCACUCUCAAAUCGUAAGGAGUGAAAACUGAUGUUAAAGAGCCUUCGGUGAAGACUUGACGUUGUCCGACACGUGUCGGCCGGGUCCCACCACCCCCUUCUCUCUUCCUUCCUACUAUCUCUCUCCUUUAUGCGAGAAAAUAUUGGGUGGUCCGAGACCUCCACGUCAGCGUGAUCCCUGGCCACUCACGAGAUGUCAUGUGGAGGGGUGGGCCCCACUUGGUGUCUUCUGCCUUCUUCCCCUCUCUCUCCUCUUCCUAGCCGAUGCCCUCUCUCCUCCUAGCUUGCACGCUCUCUCUCCACAGAGAGCAUUUAUUGCGGAAACUUUUCUCUUUCCUUCAUUUGAGAAAGAAAACGGCCGUUCGGAUGCACGUCCCUCUCCAUUUCUUUCCUUUCGAAUUUUUGAAUCUAAAAUUCUCUCUCUGCGCUCGUUCCCUUGCCGUCGCCAAGCAUCAAGCGGCCGUUCCCUUGCCGUUGCCAAUGUACCACAUUACGGUCGCUACUACUUCGAUGCUCGCUCGCUUCUCUCUCCGAGCUCGUUGCUGCUCCGUCGUUCGUUCCGGCGUUCCCGGGAUCGCAGACGCAGCACGCAGAGGAGAAGCAGGCCUCUUCGAGCUGCCCUCAACGUCGCCGAGCGAGACCCCCACACACCAAAAGGCUCGGAGGCGAGGUUGUUGUAGAAGCUGGUGCCGUACGCGAAACGCGACACCGACGGCACUCCACCUCUGCCUCCGCCGGUUCACUCCGUCGCCCUCGACUCCGACGCUGACGCUGACGCCCCUCCACCGGUUGCCUCCGUCGGCAUCGGAGUCCGUCGCCCCCGACUCCGACGCCGACGCCGACGCCCCUCCGCCGGUUGCCUCUGUCGGCGUCGGAGUCUGUCGCCCCCGACUCUGACGCCGACGCCCCUUCGCCUCCCUCUCACGCCCUCCGCUCCGCUCUCUCCCUCUUUCCUCUGCGGAGCGCCCUUACUAGCCAACCCCGCGAGCAACCUCUCUUCGAGUCUCCAUCUCCUUCACGGCCAGGUAGACGUCGUCCAUCUCUCUCUCUCUCUUUCUAGUGUCACGGAUUCUUCUUUCUUAUUUCUGUUCCAUGUUGAUGAGCAAGUGUACUCUUGCUUGAUGAUGCAUCAUGGGUAGGUUCGUUUCAUGAGAUUGAGAUUAAGCUACACUGGUGCGGAGGUUGUUCGUAAUGGGAUGUGCGUCUCUUGUGCCGAAUAGAGUGUUGGGUCAUGCCUUGGAAGCUCAAAAGAUGAACUUUAGUUGUUUCCUUGUUCUGAUUAUGCUAUUAGUCUGUGAUAUCACAAGUUCAUUCGAUGUUGUGAUUGAAGUUUCGGUGUCAGGUUAUGUUAAUAUUGGGAAGGUUCAUGCUCUGUGUUAGUUUUUGUUCACACACUGGAUUCUCUCUGUGGUGGGUUUGCAGCUUCGGUUUGAUCAAUCGGCUGGGGCGUGCUCGAGGGGCUUUGCUCAACUCGAUUCUUGCUCUGCUGGCCAUCCUCUUAGAAAAAAGGCGGCUCGUAAUUAGUUGUUUCUUGGCUUUGUAAUGGACCAAGAGUCCCAAGUGGAUGAGGACUUCCCCCUCUUCCAGAAAUGCUCCAAACAACCUAAAGCGCCACCAUCAUCAUCGAUAACUACUUCCUCCUCCUCCAAUCUUGCAGCCGAGACAUCAAUAAAGCAAGUGGAGAAAGUGAAGGAGGAUACUAGCCUUACUAGCACUAAUGUCUGGGUAACAAGAUUUGAAGCUUUCAAUCACAGCAAGAGUGAAAUCACAUGGAGUUUUAGAUUUGAGGAUGACAUCUACUUCAACCGUUCCUGCGUUAAAUCUUUUUGACAUUGCAUUCGGAUUUGCAUUUUUGUGCCUAUGUACUUCGUCGUAAGUUUUUAUCUUCUGAUAUUCAAUGGUAGGAUAGAAGAAGGCUGAAAAUAAAGUCUUGGUGCUAAAGAAACAAUUGGAGGCUGCAACACAAAGGAACUCGACACUAGAAGAUUGAAUCAGUCAUCUUGAUGGAGCACUUAAGGAAUGUGUGAGGCAGCUCAGACAGGUGAGGGAACAGCAAGAGCAGAAGAUCCAAGAAACUGUGGUCAAGAAAACUCGUGAGUGGGAAUAAACAAAGGCCGAGCUUGAGACUAAGCUUUCCAAUGUCCAUGCCCAGCUUCAAGCAGCCAAGAGUGAAGCUUCUUUAGUUAUAUGUUCUGAUCUCGGCCCUAAGCUUGAUGCUGCUGAAAAAGAGAACGUGGCCCUCAAAGCCAAAGUCCUUUCUAUGUUGGAAGAGCUAGAACUUAGGAUUAUUAAGCGUGAUUUGAGCACCCAAGCAGCAGAAACAGUCAGCAAACGGCAUUUAGAGAGCAUAAGAAGGUAGCUAGGCUAGAAGCCGAAUGCUGCAGACUCAGAUCUUGAAAAAUAAAGCUUUCGGCUUGCACCUUGCGUGUUGGCGUUACUUGUACAUGCGCAAACAUUUAUUUUGGUCUUGUGCCAGAGGAUGAAGGCUUUUGAUUUAAUUCAAGUAGGUUGUUAGUAAUUACUUUCGAAUUUUUUUGCAGGAAUUAUGUACCGGUAUCGUUAUUUUACUGACCAUGGGAAUGAAAAGCUCCCAUCUCUUAGUGUUUAGUGAAGAUCUCUUCUUCAUAUAUCUUCUGCCACCUAUCAUAUUCAAUGCGGGGUAAGUUAAUUUCCAAUUGGAGCGGUGAAGAACUUUUCUCAGAUCAUCUUACAUAGUAGCAUUUAGGCAUCAUUCUUUUUACGUGGUAACUUUUAGGCAUCAUUUGUUGCUACAUGUUUGUAUUUUUCGAAUUUGUCUUCAAAUACAAGUAACUCCACUGAUUGAGAUUAGGUUGGAUUUUUCCAUAAUGGUAAAUAGUUCCUCGAACUGUAAACAGGCUUUGAAAGAAUUGUGACAUGGGCUUUAUAAACUGUGAGGGAUAGACUAUAUAGAUGGACAGAAGAGUGAUCAUCGAAGAUUUAAAUAAUUUGAUAGUCAGCAAAAUGUCCAUGUAUAUUAAUCUGUUAUACUUUACAAAAUAUAGAGUUGACAGACAAGUUGUAUAAUUUAAUUUACAGUCUCAUCUUCGAACUUUACAGGAAGGUUGCCUAUAUCUUCUAGGGUUGAAAGUGUUCUGACUAUUUUCUAUGGGAUUUAUCUCAUUUCUAUUUUCUAAUCUCUGUUGAGUGAAUAAAUAAUUUCUUAUAGGCUUCUGAUAUGGAGUUUUAAUAAGUUAUUUAAUGGUGCUAAUCAUCCUUUUCAGGUUUCAGGUGAAAAAGAAGCAAUUCUUUAGAAACUUUAUGACCAUCAUGCUAUUUGACGCUAUCGGUACCUUAGUUUCGUGCACUAUUAUUUCACUAGGUAAGUCAAAGGAUUUUACUUCCAUUUUUUGGCUCGCCAUGUCAAAGGAUAAUUGUGUAUAUUGCUUCUUAUAUUCUUCAAUGCCUUGAAGAUCUAUUCCACUGAUCUUUUUUCCCCUAAAGAAAAUUCAAGCAGCAUUUUGAAUUGUUUCCAGGGUUCAUUUCUAUAUGCCUUCUCAGUCUUUAAAUUGCAUUAGAAUUUAAUGGCUUAGAUAACUCCUCAUUUCACUUUAUGUGAUGCACUGUCAUUUUCCGGCAGAAAUUUUGUUGUUGUAGCUAGGAACUGAUAUUGCAAGGGUGAACAUAUAUGUAUGUUUGAAACCAUUUUUUGUGAUUAAGACAUUGUUUGAUGGAUAUUUUAGUAUACAAUGAAUUGAUUCCUCCCUUUUAUGUAAAUGACGUGGUAUUUAUUAGUGAAAUUCACUUGUAUGUGUAUGUAACCAUAGAAGAAGUCAAUUUGCCUACCCGGAGUACUAAAGACUCUUAAGAACACAUGGGUUUGUGUUUGUCGAAUUGUGUAUUUUACUUCCAUCUUCAUCAUUUGUUUAUUUAAGCAAAUUCAAAACCCUUCUCAAAUAAGGACACAAAAGGGAGAAAUUCUUACAUAGACAGAUAAAUUUUCUUUUGAGGUCAUAUGAGCUAUUCUUGCAUAUUUUUCUUCGGACCUAUGCUUGUUUAAGAACAAUCUUGCCAAUUGAUGUACCUUGUGAUGAUCUCAGAACCACAGAAGUUUUCAAAAGAUGGAUAUGAGCAACAUAUGCAAGUUAAUCAUCUUGCUCCAGCUUUGCUAUCAGUAUUGCUUUUGCCAUCACUCCUUCGAGGCUCUCCAAGCAGAAUUGUCAAUGUAAAUUCUGUGGUAAGUUUGUGCUUUCAAUGACGCAUUAAGUUGGUGCUGCAUUAUGUUAAUCGGGCUGUUCUUGCCUCCAUUUGAUAAUGGCAGAUUUCUGAAAGAAUGAUUUUCUUGUCUUUGGUUCUUGAAUGAUGGAAAUUUUGCUGAAGACUUGUGAUGUUCGAUGCUCCAUUUAAAUGUCAUUGGAUGGUUGACCUAAAUCCAUCUGGUUUGUAUGUUGGGAUGAAUGGCCAUAUGCUAACUGUUUACUCUAGUUAGGCUGCAAACCUAUCAAUGUGACAUUUUUACUGCUGUAUUGUCCCGAAACUCCCUUUCUGGCUUUAAACCAUUGCUCUUAUUCCUUUUCAUUUCCCUUAAUACAUUCCUGUUCGAUUUUUUGCUUAGCAAGUUGUAUAUUUUCAGUACUUCAUACUAAUAUAUUAUAGGUUAUGAAGUGAUACUUAUUAGAAUGUUGAUUACGACCUGUAAUUAUUACUAACGAGGCGAGGUGGCCUCAUUCAAGUUAUUUUCAACAGUGUCCUCCAUAAACGGCUGCCUGCUGAAUCUGGAAUGAGUGUAUUAUGUGUAUCCCCUGGAGUAGUCCAAACCAACGUUGUAAGUAUGCUAAAAUAGUUUUUAUUUUGAAUACAUAAAAGUGAGUAUGUCAGUAGACUUUGGAUGCAUAUAUGUGGUGUCGUGUCCGUGUGCAAUGAGUCAACGAUUGACCCAACGAGGUGGGUGGCAUGGCAUUGUUGUCGGUUGCUCAAUUCCUAAUGAAAUUUACUUCUGCUAAUUUUUUCCAUGUAAAUUUUCAUGAAACCACCGCCACUAGAUCAUCCAAGCCCUCUACUACCUUCAUCUUGCAUCUGCUGUGAUUUGCUUAUAUGGUUGUCGUUGGCUAUCCUAUGUAGUUUUUCUUUGCUGAAAUGAUUGACAUCAUGAUUUAAUAGUUGAUCUAUCUUCCACUUAUAAUAUAAAAUAAAAGGACACUGAUGGUGUAAUUUUUUAUGUACACCAGCUCUUUUGAGAACAAGAUACGAGGAGAUAUUAAGAAUUUAUACAGAUUGGUCAUUUAACAUGGUAAUAAACCUGUGUUUGAUUGGAGGAGUGCUUGUGUAAAAUUAUAAAAGCGGUGUUUCUCAUAUAAAUCCUUGUAGGAAGUAUUAACUUUCUCCUGUCAUAUGGAUGGAUAUCUUCUUGUGUCAUAAUGAGGUAUAUGUAUCAUCAUGACAAGCUACUGAUAAGAUAUAUCUUUUAUAUUUUCUCAAUGAAUUGAAUGCUGGCGAGGGAUCUUCCUAGAAUUGUUCAAGCCGGUUAUAAUUUAAUACCCUACUUCAUAUUUAAUCCUCAAGAAGGUUGGUCCUCUCACAUGCCAGAUUGCUUGCAAAAUUGGAAGUCAUAGGGUCAUUAUGUUUCUUAUUCAUUUAUUUCAGAAGGGGAGUAAACACUUGAAUGGAGUUAUGCAGGCAUUAUCCUCUUAUCUAGUUUACUAUGCUAGGCAUUUAUCUACCCAUUUGUGAUUUUUUUUUCUUUUUUAUAAUCAAUAAUCAAUUAAAAUCUCCUCUUUCCAAUCUAAAAUAAUACGGGGUUAAAUUUCAUGUCUCACUGCUCAUGCAGGUUCUAGGAGUUCACUUUUUGCUGCAACGGAUCCUUAGGUUCCAGAGUAUUGUGAGUUACUGAAAGCGGAUGACUGGCCUGUUUGUGCUUUCAUUUCCCAAGACUGACGUCCAACAAACCCUUCUGAAGAAGCACACAAUGUUGAAACCUCUUACCGGGUAUGGAAAAAGACAUUAGAUAUGAUUGACCUUCCUUCUGAUUCUGGGGAGAGGCUUAUAAAAGGGGAAGAUAUUAAAUGCCGAUACGAUGGUCAAUAGGGUGAUUAUCCUCUCUUUACAAGAAAGUGCUUGUUGACAUGAAAGCCUCUACACAAAAUGCUUGUGAAUGGCAUCUUCAAAUGUAUUCUGAUAGUAUUUCAUGAUUCAUGAAGGAAGGAAAAGGCUGACUAAAUAGAGCACUCUAGUGAAAAAUUCUCUCUGGACAGUAAUUGUUAGGAUGAAGUCUUCCUUUCAUACUUUGUAAGAUAGUUUAACAUCAGUGAGCCUUAUUUUGGAAAUGCAGGUGCUUGUUAUAGGUGUUGUCAUCACUGUUAAUUUGACUAUCACUAAGUUUCCCACUAUACAUUGUUUUGCCAAAGAUUGAUAAAAACAUCGGGCAAUUCUAGCAUGCCUUUUGGCCAUUUAACUGGAUUUGUCAUGGGUUGAGUCUAAAAAGAUUGAAAAGGAGAUGAAUUGGUAAUGAGGUUUAACAAAAAAAAAAAAAAAGUUGAAAAAGGGUUGUUGGGCAAGAAAUAGAGGAAAAAAAUGAGGUAUCGGGUUUGGACGUCAAAUUUUUUUUUGUUCAAUAACACAAUGGCGUUUUAAACUAGGUGCGUGCAAAGUUUGAUGGAUUAAUUUUGAGUACGGGAACACGUACGAAUUUAUUUCCGAAAGCUUUAACAAAAAAAAAAAGUUGGGAAAGUGGAUGGUAAAGGCACUAAGAUAUCCUCAUUUAUUGGAACAAAAACGUCUGAAGUGAGUGGCUGCUGAUUGGAUGACCAAUUCAUGGUCGUCCUAUCCAAAAGUUUUUAUCAUUUUAAGGAAUCUCAUGAGUGGGCAUGCGAAUAAAAGAUCAUUUAGGUUACGUAAUCAAAGAAGAGAAGAUUUAGCCAAGGACAGGAAAAUAGAAGCUGGAAGCGUUUUAAACAUAUGCAAGAACUGCUCUGACAGUAGAAGCAGAAUGUUCUAUCACAGGAGGAAGAUACAGUGAAUGGAAUCAGCAACUUCAAAAUUCAAAUUGAAUUUUUUGAAUGAUUCAAUCUAAAGACCUCACAGUUGAUGGAAUUAUGUUUAGUCAAAAUGUAUUUGAACCUAACUAAAAGCUAGAUAUCCAUAUAUCAUGGAAAAGAUUGAGUAGAUUGAACAUUUGCUGAAGCAUAUGUAUUGAAGAUUUUAACCAUAUGCAUAUACAACCAUCCGAAGAAAGUGAAGAUUAUCACCAUGCUUAACCUAUUGAUUAGAUGGAACUUUAGGAUAUGUAGAAGGCCAUAUGAAGAUUCAUGGAACGAAAUCUCAUGAACCUAUGAAUUGACUUUGAUUAAUACAAGGCCAUAUGAAGAUUCACACAAGGAUGGAAGAGUGGAAGACAAUGAUUGCUGGCUAAGGGACCUCUGACAUUUCAAUCAUAGAGAACUGAGUAUUGGAAUUCAGAGCAGGGGACAAGAAUGAGGAAUAACGAGAAUACCACCAAUAUGAAGAGCCUAUACCUUGGUUCUUGUACUUCCAUUUGUGCCCAACUUAGCAAGACCUUGAGUGUAUUUUGAACAAUUCUUGUAUCGCCUUCUCUCUAGUAAGCAUUGCGGAGUGGGCUUAGAAAUUUAUAUGAGAAGGAGAGGCUUAACUAAAUAGGAGCAUUGAUAGGAGAUCAUUGUUCAAAGACUGCUGGUGCUGUACAAGGGUUUAACACAGAAGCAACUGAUGUUGAAGUUAUGUGGAACAUAUGGUAUGAGUUGUAAUAUAUUGGGUGGAAGCAGUGGAUUUAGCUAUGAUUGAAGGCUGGGCUAGUAGUACAUGAAAAGAGAGGAGAAAGGUGGAAGGCUGAACCUCUCCUAUACUUUACCUCAAUUUUGUUACCUCUACUCCUUUAUUUCUCGUUAAUCACUUAAAGCACCUAUGGUUUUAGGAAUAUUUCUGCUAAAAUGAUACCAGAGUGCUAAAAAUUCAAUCCUAACCAAAUUUUGGUGAUCGAAGAUGCUAGAGGCUUGCCUAAAUCUUGAACAAUGCACUUGGAUCUUGGUUAAACAAGGAAUUUGUGACCCUCUUACCCCGGUCUUCCAGCAGAUAACCAAAUGCAAAUUUUGGCAAACAAAUGUAAGAGUUUCAAAAAGUGGCAUGAUGCAAUCGCCUCUUGGUUUACUAGGGAGUAUAGCUCUCCAGUUACCUAGGCCUUUGCAGCACGAAAAAAAAAGGUAAGAACAAAAGAUUACAUUAGCUAGAAGAUUCCCUUCGAAGGUCUACUCACCAGAAUCGGGCCAAAGUUCAUGCUUAGAACCAUCAACGGCUGUAAAUGAGAUAAAAGAUUCUCUAGGGUGCAACAGGGUGAAAGUGAGGGUGUCCUCUCAAGUAGACCAACCUACAGCACAAUACAAACAAAACACCAUUACAAGUGAUUAUUGACAAUCUGAAAGUCAGAAAAGAAACAAAAAGCAUAAAAAGCAGUUCUCUGAUGAUUUCUCCAUUUAAUUUUCUGAUUAAAUAAUUCACUGUAAGAAAUAUGCAAGCUAAACUUUAAGCAUGUGUUCUCAAUAGUUAGCAAGUAACAUAAUUAGCGACUCCCAUCUGACUCGACUUGAUCUGGACCCGAGUUGGCUCCAAUUUUAACCAUAUUAAAAAAACCAAUCAAUUAAAAAUAAAUUAAGGAUGCAUUUAUUUCUCGGAGUAUGGAUGAUUUGCAAAACAUUUUUCCAAAAAUAAUCGCUUAUAUCACUAGAAAUAAUUAAUCAACAAAAAAUAUUUUUAUUAUCAAAACAAUUUAUGUAUAAACAUUUUCGUGGACGAUAAUAACAUUUUUUAUUGAUUCAUUUUUAUAAGUAAUAUAAAUAGUCAUUUUCGGAAAAUGUUUCUCAAAUUAUUCAUUUUUGUGAAACAAAUAGAACCAAAAUAUGAAAAUCAAUUAGUAAAUAAGAAAUUACUGAAAAAGGGAUUAGUACGUUAGGAGUGUUAUAACUUUUGUACUAUGCUCACCUGAGUGUCACAACUUAUUUUAUUUUAUUUUUCAUUUAUUUGUGCCACAAAUUUAAAAAAGACGUUCAUUUGAGUGUCAUUAGAUAUUUACCUCAUGAGACAAGUUGACGUGGUGUUAAUUUGUAAUACAUCAUUUGACGUGAUACAUUGGAAAAUUGAAGUCAUCACUUGACAAGGCUUGAAAGUGCUUUUUUUCCUUGAAACCAAUUCAAACACUCAAUUUCAUAUUCAAGUACCAUCAAUCACAAUUACAGCAUCACUUCUUAAGGAACUAAGAAGCACUCGAAAGCCCAUCACUUCAUAUAUCCAACUAGUGCCAAAAGUCCUUUACACGGCAAUCAGAACGAAGGAAUGUCAACAACUCUCUCUUUUUUACCAGAAGCGCGGAAGCCACUGUGCUUAGGGCCCCUCCUCCUACCCUACACCUUUCCUUUAUUUCCUGGAGAAAGGGCUAAAGCCACUGUGGGGGCCGGCGGGCCUGUCGCCCUUCCCACCACAACAGCCCACCGCUCGGUGCUUAAUAUUAUUUCCAGCAAAUUCACACCAAGUUUUCUAUGAUUAAUAUUUUUAUUACUAAGUAUAAAUAUAAUUAAUCAAUAGAAUUUCUAUGAUUUGAUAAAAUUUUAGAAUGGAAUAGAAUUCUAAGUUCGAAUUCUUUUGAAAUUGAAAAUAUAAUAAAAUAUAAUAUGAUUUCUUCACUCAUAAGAAGAUAAUUAUAUUGGUGAGUGGUCCAUGAGAAUUCAAUAUCAAAUUUACACUCAUCUAAAAAGGUAAUUGAAAAUGAAUUGGAAUAAAAAUUUUAUGUAGUUACCAAACGCAUUUCUAUUCUUUUUAUAUUUUAGAAUCAAAAUUUUGUGUAGUUACCAAACGCGUUCUUUUGUUUAGAAAUUGUUCCCAGAAAUAGAAUAAAAAAGAAUCAUUUCUUAUCAGAAAUUGUUCUCGGGAACAAAAUGGUUACCAAACGCGCCCUAAGUGAGCAUAAGGGUAGUUGCUUAACUAGGUCUUUCUAUUGCCUUUUGUUCAUUGGUUUACCCUUUACGAGUUUAAAAAAUCAACAAUGACGUUGUCAUCGUGCAGAGGUCGUGUAAUAGGAACAAUUUCAUGAAAAUAAUUAAAUGUCUGUGGUUUAUAUUCAUGUGUGUAGUUCUUGAUCAGACAUCAGUUCUGCGUAUUUACUACUCUUUAAGUAACAGAACAGAGGGAACAAAAUUGUCUGAACCCAUGCAUGUCAAUUGUCAUUGGAUCGAAGAAAUUAUAUCUUAACUUUUUAGCCUUAAAAAGCUUUUUUUGCAUUGGAAGCAGCGUAAGUCAUUAACUUGAGUAUAGCAAGUCAAUCAGCAAAGUCAUAUUCACACCAUAGGUGUAAUUCCUCGACAAGACACUUCGUCCUAAGCCUCACUCUAGAGUGAUGAAGCCGUGGUUUUCGAUGGAUGGUUUGCUUACAUUGUGGGGUGAACACUCCUCGCCUCGUCCAUUUUGCAUACAUAUCCUAAAUUUUCUCCUUCUAACGCUGGAAAUUCUUUUGAGGGGCUAUAUUACAAACAAAAUGCCUGAUUCAGGAAGAAUAUUUUUUGCUGAAACUCAAAUGCUAUCGUUGGUUUCUGGUCUUUAGUUUGUUUUCUAAUAUGUACUAGCUAUGCAAGGCAUUGAAAAACCUAACGAACAAUUAUAAACCUGUAUUGCUUGUUUAUUUUGUAAGAGUUUUCCUAAUGUGGACUGCAUUAAUUGGUAUUAUAAUUUACUAUUUUUACAGCUACCGUAAAACAAGGUUGGUCUAAAGUGAGAUAUAAGAUUUCUUAAUUAGUCUAAUAUGGAACUGGCUAGUGUAGGCCGAGUUGAGCCUGGCCCGUAAUAAGGGGGUCUGGCUGGAAACUUUAUAAAUAGUACUCAAGUCUUUCCUCUAACCCUAAUUCUCACAUUAUCCUCACUUAAGGGGCAUUUACCUAAUGCUAAACGUGAGAGGGCCGCCUCAUUGAGCUAGUGAUACAGAUGGAAAUAGAGGAGAAUGAUUUGAUGUGUGAAUCCCCAUGAUGAGUGGGUAGUCCAUUUUCUGCUUUCGCUUUAUGUUCGAUUGAUUUCAAAACAUGUGCGUUAAUAUUUCCAUUCAAUUAAGCAUGUUCUUGUUCUAGUUAUGGAGAUCUUGGGGUUGCGCAAUUUAUAUUCAACAUGUGGUAUCAAAGCAAUUAUAACCCUAGAACUUGAACGCAUAAAGUUUUUGCCAUAAUUUGUGAUUUUCGAGAUUUUUUUAUCAAUAAAAAUUAAAUUAAAUUAUAUAUUCGGACUGGGCCCAACAAGACGAAAAGAAUCGUAGGCGGCACGUCGCCGGAGGAGGCCGCACGCCCCCCCAUGCGCGGCCAUGCGCCGCGCGUGAGCUCCACAUGCCUCGCACUCAGGUGGCGCGUGUGGGCGUGUGGAGCCUCUGUUCAGCGCGUGGGCAGCGGCGUUGGAUUCGUAUGAUCAUCCUCUACGUCGUGGUGUAUUUAUUUUACAUGUUUGAUAUUUUUAUGGAUAUGAAAUUACAUACAAAGCCCUAAAUACGUGUAUUUUUAGUGUAUCUUUACGUAUUUUUUUGUAUUUUCUAUGAUUUUGGAAAUACAAGUGUUGGGUUACAAAUAUGUUAUCAUUUAAACAUUAUAAUGGUGUAAUUCAUUAAUAAAAUCAAACUUUAUUAUAAAUUGAAAUUGACUUAAUGAGAUAUAAUCAGUAUGGGAUAAUAUUUAAGCUAUCUAUUGAGGUGAUGAGAAACAGUAAAGAUUAUGAAACUUUUAUUGAUCAAGUAUACUCCUUGACACGCUGGUAAUUUUUGAAUAAUGGACGUCUUAAGAACUCAUGACCAAAAUGAUUGUACUGAUUAACACAUCUGCUGAAUGUGGGUAAUGCAUGUCAGUUAAGUUAUUACAUAUUGUAUCUAAACUCAUUUGGUCACUGGUUAAUGUCUAUCAAGUUGAAUAUUUUUUAUGGUUAAGAAGUAUGACGGCAUUUACACAGAGCAAUUGUAUCUACUGUUAUAGUUUAGAUAUGUGGUUCUGUGUUUUGACUUAAUUUAUAGGCCACUGGUUGAUGCAAUGAUAAUUGGCUAAUAAAUCAGCUAUUGGCCUUAGAAUCAUGUUUUGCCUUAUGAAACUUGUGAGCAAUAAUUGAUCAGCUAUCAAGCUUGUUAAUCUUGAGUAUCCCGUAUUACUAUUGAUAUUAAUUUGUGAGGGAUCUUUUGGAUCGGCAUUCUUUUAAUGUUGUUCCAGUAAUCAGUAAUCGAGGUGUACAAGAGAUACUUGCUUCUAUGUUAUGAGAAUUUUCUUAUGUUGUUGUGAUCAGUGAUCUCAUUGGAAUCUGUCUUUCAGAUUCGCUAUAUACAUAUAUAUAUAUAUGUAUAUAUAUGUAUAUAUAUAAUAAUAAAGAUUUUAUUAAUGAACAAAGCAAUGUAAUUAACAUAAUAUGUGAUUUUGGUGAUAUGCUGCCCCUAUCACUAAAAUUAAAAUCAUAUGUAUAUGGUAUAUGUGAUGAGUAAAGUUUAUAUCCCUAGUAUGAGAAAGUUUCAAUGAUUAAAUUGAGUAGUGACCACCAAAGUGGCACGCUUAAUUGGGUUUGACAAAUUUCAGUCUCGUAUGAUGAUUGAGAUGUCUCCUGGUCUAAUGCGUAGUCAUACUCCCAAAAGAGGUAAUUGUGUAUUAGUUCAUGGAGGGAUACAUAAUAAUGUGGCGGAGGAGUGACUGAUUCUAGUGAUUCAUAUGCCCAAAAGUGAUGAAUUCACGAAGAAUUGGUAUACUCAUAACCGCUAUCAUGUGGGGAGUGUACAACUGCAUGUCAUGUAUUCUGCCCAAAUAUGAUUAUAUGAGUAUGCGUGUAACUCUCUGGAUGUGUACUUGUACGUCAAGUUACACGGUGCUCACAUGAUGCUAAUUAUAUACAUUACUUGUUUUUUCAAUCACAUUUUUCUGUAAUUAAUAACCUCACUAUUAUUGAGGUUUUUACUAUUUCAAAUUUUAAGUUGUGAACAUAUGAUUUAUUUCUUGAGAAAAGAGCAAUUGAAUUUGCUUACUGUCCAUGAAGCGUUCCAUUCUAGAACACUUGAAAAGAGGUUUGCUUGCGGACUACACUGCUAUAAGAUAAUAGAAGCCUUAAUUGCUUGAAAUUAUGUCUUGUAUGAUAUUGAAAUUAGGACACAUUUGCAAAGAUUGUGUUUAAGUCCUAAUGACAUAUACAUCUUGUAUAUGGUUAAAAGGUUAUUUUCGAAAUUUUUCUAUUUAAGAAAAAUGACCGAGAUAAAGAAUAAGACAAUUACAAUUAGUCUUAAAAGGUUGUCAGGCUUAAUAGUAGCCGUGAGUAUUUUGGCGAGUAUGACAAUACGAAAUAGCUUAAAGGUCAUUUGUCAAAUACUUGGUAGAUUCUAGGGUGGUAACUUAAUUAUUAUACUUGAAAUUCUUGAGAAAAAGAUUUGGCCGAAAGGUAUAAAUGCACCAUAUUGAACAUGGUGAUGAGUAUGAUUAGUAAGACUAAUUAAUCCGGUCUUCUGUGGGCUGAUAUUUUGAAAGCAACCUUUUAACAUACAAAAGGUGUUUCUUAUCAAAGUUAUUUCAUAAACUUUUUUUGAGUUAUAGACUUGAUAUAAAUUACUUAAAUCAUAUUAAAUUUAGAGGUAUCAUGCAUAAAUGAGGUUAUCUAAUUCAAUAUUAAGUGUGUUGAAAUUUAGAUCCACUUGGAAUUAUUUUGUAUUUUACUCAAAUUGUUCAAAGGGGUAUCAAUUUUAUGACCCUAAAGAAAGUACAAGUAUUAUGGAAUCACAUACUGUAAAGUUUCUACAGUUCAACGUAAUUGUAGAUAAUAAAUGCUCUCAGACUAUUAAGGAUAAUAGCACAAUGAAAAAUCACUAUUUAUUUGUUUUUACCUAUACAGAUAAUUAUGGUCCAGACAAUUAUUGAAUCUCAUAUACCAUAAAUUAAACUUGUUGAGGUUUAAGGUGCUAUUCUUGAUAUAGUUUAUGAUGAAAUAUUUUCAAACCUCUCAAGUAUAGAAUGAAGUGGUAGUAACUUUACUCGGAAGAUUUGUUAGGGAAAAAUGAUCAAUUAUUCCAUUAAAUUAUAUAGUCUAUUUAUGAGAGCAUGAUUGCAAUAUCCGCUAUAUGGUUGAUGUAGUGGCAUAUUUAUAUGUCGUUUUUUUUUUCUCAAUCAAGUAUGUGAUUAGAUGCCAUAAAUUGCGAUAUACAAUCUGUGAAACAUCAUAGUAUUUGGAAACUAACUUACUUGUCUAAAGAUCACAAGUUCAUUAGUUGCAAAUUGGCAUACAAAAUUAAAAGGAUUUCAAAGGAAAAUUGUGAAGUUUAAAACUAAACUUGUAGCUAAAAUUUUCACUCUGAAAGAAGGGUAGAUAGUUUAUAGUGAAGAAAUAAUUAUUUAUUUACAUAUUCUUUCAGAGUGAACGUGGUAUUAAUAGCUCUUUUUGAUAUAGAGUUAUAUCAAAUAGAUACAAAAUCUAUAUAGUGUAACUUGAGGAUUUUGCAGGAGAUUCAAGUAAACUUGUGUGUAAACUGAAAAUUUUUAUUAAUAGUUUUUAAGUAAGUUUCCAAACAUUAUUAUCAAAGUUUUAUAGUGUUGUUAUUUUGUUCAAUUGAGAACAAAGUAAUUUAAUAUACUACAAGGUCAGUGGGAGGAAAUUUGUUUUUUAUAUACUCUAUGUACAUGAUAUUUUAUUUACAAGUAUUGACCUUGAGGCAUCUUUUGUCUUGUAAUGAAUUUUUUUUUUAUAUUAUAUUAGAUUUUCUCGAAGGAUAUCUGCUGAUUGUAUAGUGGAAAUAUUCAAUAUACAUCAUUGCAAGUCAGGAAUUGCUCUUGUUGUUAAGGGUGAUAGACUAAAUCUAUCACAUUGUCCUUAUUUAGAUAUUGAGAAAAUCUAAUUAAAAGGUGUACCUUAUGUCAGUGCACUUGAAAGUAUAAUGUAUACUCAAAUUUGCACUAGACUAAAUAUCAUCUUUACGACAGGACUUCUAGGCGAAUAUCAAUUAUAUUCAGGACUGUCAAGAAGAUUUUAAGGUACUUAAAUAAGACAAGAGAUUAUAUGCUAAUUUACAGACAUGUUCAAUUAUUGCAAGUUGUACGGUAUUUAGAUGUAAAUUUUGCUGGUUGUUCUAAUGUCAUGCAAUCAAUAACGGAAUACAUAUUUAUGUUAGCAGGAAGUGCAGUAAAUAAAGUUCUAUGUCAUCUUCUACUAUGUAAGCAAUAGUAGUAACAUUCUUUUAGGCUGUUACUUGGGCUUUUAGGGCUCCAGAACCUCAUGAAGAAGUUAAUCGUUUUAACUUUAAGGAUAGACUCAUACGGUUGUAUUGGGAUAAUAAAUUUGUAGUAUUAUUUAUUUACUACUAAGGUCUCAAGGGGUCUAAAUAAAUGGUGAUCAAAAUUUUUGACCAAAAGGAAAUGAUACAGAAAUGUGACGUAAUAAUAUAACAUAUUUCUGCAGAUGAUAUGAUUGCAGAUCCACUAAUUAAAGACUUAUGUCCAUGUGUAUUUGAGCAACACGUCAUUAGCAUGGGCCUAAGAGCAUCAUGAGAUAUUGUUAUUUAGUGGGAGCUAUUUUGGCUUUACUCUGAUAAAUUUUUCAUCUGUGUUCGUUACAUUUUCUAACGGUUUGAUAUGUAUCAACUUUUGCAUUCCAUAAAAUAUUUUUGAAUACGUUGUUAUUAUGUUGAAUACAUAUUAAUAAAAUCUCAAGGGAUUGUAUAAACCUUGAGUGAAGGCUAGGGACAUCCGGGCAUCCAAUUAUUAGCCUUGUGCAUAUGUAUUGUGAUACAUAAAGAAAAGUUAACCAUAAGGACAAGACAUAUGUAGGUUCAUUGGAACUAUAAAGCAUUUUCUAGUGGCACAAGUUUUUGUGACACCUAAGGUAAGAGAAUGGUGACUGACAAAUGGGAUCUCUCUAUGAGAGAUGUUAUCCAUUUGCCACACUACCAUAUUGAAUCCAUAUCAAUAAAGUUGAGAGCACUCGUGACCAUGGAAGACUCUGUGUGUAUACAUGCAGUUACCGCCAUGAUUCGGUGUUUAAGACUUUAUGGGAUAUGAUUGACUAUUAAGAGUUAUCUCUGGACCAAUGUGCGCACAUAAGGUACGAUUUCAAUUAAUAUAGUCCAAGUGGGAGAAUGUAAGAGUUUUCCUAAUGUGGACUACAUUAAUUGAUAUUGUAAUUUACUGUUUUUACAGCUACCGUUGUCGCGACCCGAUCUCGCCGCCCCUCGAAAGGUAUCCAAGGAGGGGAAAGGUCGGGUUUAGGGAUACUUGAUCUCAAGAUCGCGAGCUCUCCCAAGCUCGUACCUCGCGUGACAGUAGGUUUAUUAUGCGAUCUAGUUGUUUAUAACAACCUAAAAAUAUACAGGAGUCGCCACUAGCCUCAUUUUUUUUUUGGGGUUGGCUAGAAACCCAAUCGAGGGUUGAGAGUAUUCCCUCGAUUCCUACGCAACCAGAUAUCUAGGUUCGGGGACUUGGGUUACGCUAAUAUUGCUAUUAGCGCCCUUUCGGUACCUAAACAGUAUGUUGUGUUUUUCCUAACAUGUCCAUGUAUUUUUUAUAUUUUCAGAAUCGUCAAUUCUAGACUAAGUGAUCAUGCGCGGUGGAUCAUUUUCAUGCUAUUCUAUUUCUAAAAAAAAUAAAAAGGAAAACAACCAAUGAAAUUGAAAUUACAAAACAUGAAGUAAACAAUCAAGAAAAGCAGUUAAACCUAUCAGGUAGUCCUAAAAAAAAAAAAAAACAAUUAAAAAGAAAAGAAAGAAAACCCGCAACUCGUCGGGUUUUAUAAUGCAAGGAACCGACACAUAUGUCGGGAAAACAAAUAGUACAUGACAAUGGUCGGAAUGGACAUCGAUCUCCACCAUCUUCACGCCUUACACCUUCUCCAUCUUCGGGGUCCUAAUCUAAACCUAGCUUAGGAAACUUCUAGCUAAAUGCAUACAAUGGAAAGAGACGAGCAAACGCAUCAAAACAAUCAAAAGCAAGACAUUUUUUAUAUUCAAAAAGAGUGACUAAAGUCACAAGGUCUCUGGAUCAAAUUCUAGGUGAUAUCCCAAAUAAAUUUCAUAGAGACACUAUCAUCAUAUCAACACAUGAAUUUCUAAAAAUCUAAAAAAAAAACAAGUCAAUCAAGAAUAGAGCAUAGUAACAUGUCACACCGUCAUUCUACAACAUAUUGAAAGCAAUUGGACAAAUCUACUAUCUCAUCUUAAGACUAACAGCAACUAGCCACAGAAAAGAUAGCAUUUCUAUAAUCGAAUCAACUUCAAAAAUCAAAGACAGCACUUCAUUAUAUAUUGUAACAAAAAGCACGUGAAUUUAUAAAAUCCUAGAAGAGAUCAAGGUCAAUCAAAAGUAGAACAGAGCAGCAAGGCAAACAUACAACCAUUUUUAUGCAGUUUUUAUGUGAAGGACAACUUUCAUGAAGGACCUAAUCCCAAACUCCUCACACAAAAAAUUCAUACCAAAUUCACAAGUAUUUGAAGCUAUAAAAACAAAGCAUGUAUUCUAAAUCAAGACUAUUUCCAAAUUUCAAUAUCAGCAAAUUCACGCAUGAACAGCAAAUAUCAAUUGCAAUUAGCCAAAUGGGUGCAUGAUAUUCACAUCAAACGGGGUUCAAAUACGAUAAUGACUCUCAUGAAAGAUUCAACUCCAGCAAAGCAUGUUUACUAACUCAAAUUUGAACACAUGCAUCAGGUCUCAAACAGGACAGAUUCUGGACUGAACUUUGGACAUGUGAAAAUCAUAUCAAAUGAGAUUCAAUCAGGGCAUUCUAUAGCUCAUUGGAAAUAUAUUCGAACCAUCUUCUACUUUCAUGAAUACUUCGAACACAGAAAACCACAACAACCAGCUCAUAUUAAGUCAUUUGCACAGAAGGUCAGAUCAGCGAAAGAAACAGAAUAUAUCAGCAGAUUAGUGCUCUUUGCAAGAAGCAUCAGGCAGGGCAAAUGAUGGCCAAAUCGCACAUAUAAUAUGUCAUUAGAAAGCUUGAGAAGUCUAUUACAAAUCUCUAGAAGACAUUAAAUCCUAAUAGCAUCAUCUACCUGUUCAUAUCAAGCGAUUUACACAGCAGGUCAUCCGAAACAGAAAAACAAAUAUUUGGCAGAUUCUGGACCUAACUUUGGACAGGCAAAAACCAUAUUAAAUGAAGUCCAAUUAGGGCAUUCUAUAGCUCAUUGGAAAAAUAAUCGAACCGUCUUCGACCUCCAUGAAGACUUCGAACACAAAAAACCACAACAACCAGCUCAUAUCAAGUCAUUUGCAUAGAAAGUUAUUCAGUUAAUAGAACAGCAAACAGUUAACAAACAGAAAUGUGAUCGGUUCAAUGCCAUUCUAAUGCCAAUCCCACAUUCUCCUCUGUCCAUUCUCUCUGUUCACUCUCUACGCAGCUCACAGAAGACCACAGAACAAGCACUGACCCUGCUCUUCUCUAAUGACUGAAAACAUUUGAUGGUUCGAGCAACUAAAGGAACCUAAGCCUAAUCAGAAUAAUUCAGGUUUCAUACAAACCACAUCUAGCCACCAUGCGAAUGCCACUCAUGGCCACAAAUACCACCAACCUUCAACUUUGACAGCUGAGAACUAGUUACGCAGAAGCAUAACACGCGCACAAAAUCGUCGAAACAAAAACAUACAAAACACAAGGAGGCGGUAGACAUCUAUCAGAAUUUAUCUGACAAACUACGAACCCAAAAACACAUAGAGGACUAAGAACAAAAGCGUAGACUUUACUCAGGCAUUUCCCCAAACAUGUGAUAUGCAUUUCCAUCAAGGAGUUUAUACAAGAAUCUGAAUCAACGAUUCACUUUUAUUUCCAUCACAACAACAUCAGAGCAAGCUUAUUUUAGGUCGAUCAUGCUAUUUAAGCACAUCCUAAUCUAUGCCAUCAGAAUCGUUCAAAUAGAGCACAGAAACACAUAC
This 81009-nucleotide long non-coding RNA is filed under the name Eucalyptus grandis. RNAcentral's name for it is "long non-coding RNA (EGRA_LNC003984)". Lineage: Eukaryota; Viridiplantae; Streptophyta; Magnoliopsida; Myrtales; Myrtaceae. The record is from RNAcentral.